AAUUGACUGUACUCUAGCUAUCUGAAAUCAAUUAUCAAACUACAAAAUACCAAGGCUUACUACUUCCAUCUUGAUUCAAUAUAUAAUCCAUUCUACGACUAUCAAUUCAACAAUACUUCUCUCAAUCACAAUUCUUCAUAAACAAAUAAUAGAAGCAAAGAAAACAAAGAGGUAGCACCAAGCUUACCCUGGCUUACGACUCUCAUAGUCUAGCUCUUAGCUUAUGACUCUCAUAGUCUGGCUCUUGGCUUAUGACUCUCAUAGUCUAGCUUUGAUCUCUCUUUCUUCAACCUAUUUAUUCUACCAAAAAGAUGAUCCAUUGGCCAAUGGAUUCCAAAGAUUAUGACACUUUGAAUUUUUAACCAUUUAUUCCACUAACAACCUAUUGUUACCAACUAAACUGUGUAGCCAUCAGUCUAAUUCUUAAGGUUAUCAAUAACCAACCAAUAACUUACCACAAAGUUUAUUUGCCUAUUCUACACUCUACAUAGUAGCUUUUUAUUCCAGAGAAUUUUUAGCAAUCAAAAUUAAUUAUGAGAUUCAUAACAAAGAGCUCCUUGCAAUAGUAGAUUCAUUUUAAGAAUGGCAUCAUUAUCUAGAAGGCACCUUAAGUCCAAUCACCAUAUAUAUAGAUCAUAAAAACCUUGGGUACUUCAUAUCAAGCAAAUUCAAUCAAGUAUGUCUUCUAAUCUUUUUGUUCAUGAUAUCAAGAAUAAUUCUUCUAAGUCCUAUGAUACUUUGAAGUUUUACUUCAAGCACAACCUAUUAUAUUUCAAAGAUCACUUAUAUAUUCUAAAAAACGAGGCAUGAUUACAUGUCCUUCAAGUUCAUCAUGAUUUUUCAAUAGCCGAAUAUUUUGGAUACAAUAAGACUUUGAAGCUAAUAUCAAAAGAUUUUUAGUGGCAUCAAAAAUAAAAGGCAGUCAAAGACUUUGUAUAAUCAUGUGAUAUUUGUUCCAGAUCUAAAACUCCUCACUAUUGACUUAAUGGACUUCUUGAACUAUUAUCAAUUCCAAAACAAUUAUGGUCUUCUGUUUGUAUGGAUUUUAUCAAGGAUCUUUCAGUAUCAAGUUCAUAUGACUCUAUAUUUAUAACCAUAGAUUAUUUCAGCAAAAUUAUAUAUUUUAUACUAUAUACAAAAUCUAUUUUAGGUGAAGAAAUAAUUAAACUUUUUAUUGAUAGUAUCUAUUGCUAUUAUGGAUUGCUAAAGGAUAUUAUAUUGGAUAUGGAGAUUCAAUUUAUAUCAAGAUUUAGAAGAAUCCUAUUUAAGAUUUUAAAGGUAGAUAUAAAGCUUUUUUUGGCUUUUCAUCUUAAAAAUGAUGGACAAACGGAAUGAGUGAAUCAAGUUUUGGAAGAGUAUUUGAAUUAUACCAUCAACUAUCAUCAAGAUAAUUAGACAACUCUUUUGCCAUUGGUAGAGUUUGCAUAUAAUAAUUCAAUGCAUUUCUCUAUUCAAUAAAUACCUUUCUUUGCCAAUUAUGGUUAUCAUCUAUGACUUGAUACUUUUGACUUGUCAAAGGCCAUGCCCAAUAGGCUUCAAGGAUGCUGCCCAAGACCUUAUUAGGGAUUAGGAUUUCUCUUUUGAAGUCAUUUGAGCUUUAGAGGCUAGGAUCAGCAAGUUUAAGAUUUUGGGUAUAAUUUGGAUGAAGAGUUUGGGUGAUUUCGAAUUUUUGUGAAGGAGAUAUAACUAUUCAAAGUUAAGGUGUCAAAUUUGUACCUAUUGUCAUUCUUUGAAGCAUAACAUAUGUGCACGGAGAGCAAUGAAAGAUCGGCAAUUACAAUUGAAAAGAAAACCUUCUUGGCUACACUUUACAUAUAUUGUUUGAUGAAUUCUAAGUCUGGCUAAAGGAGUUAUAGGGCUUUGAAGACAACACAUGAAAUUCAAAGGCAGUAAGUGAGUCAUUUUAUUGAUAGUAAUGGUUGGAGCCAUAUCUUGAGUUUUUGGACGAAUUUUUGACUCAAAUUUUUUAUAAAUAUGAGUUAUUAGGUUAAAAAGCUCUAAAUAAAAGUUUCAUGGUAAUUGAGUAUUUAUUUUAUGAGAUAUAAAGAAAAUAGCAUACAGGUGUAUGUAAGCUAGGAUUUAAAGCUAUUGUUAGGAUUUUGGUGAUAUCUAAAGAUUCAUAACGAAUUUGUGGUUGAAUUUUUUGUGAUAGUUUUUGAAAUUAUAUUAGUACUUCAUGUAAAAUUUUAGAUUUUUUGGACUGUUUGAUCGUGAGAUAUGAGCUGUUGAAGUUUGAAAAACAUUUUUUAUAAGGUUAUAUAAGGUUUUAAGAUACUUUAUCAUAAAUUUGGAUGUUUUUUUGAUACUUGGACUUAUAUAUUGAUGUAAUUGCCCUAAAAGAGAAAAUAUUAUAUAUAUAAACUUGGUAAUUUUAUAUCUUAGACUUGAUUGAGUAUUUAGUGGUAGCCAAAAGCCGAGCACUUUCUUGAGACAAACUCUCUCUACCUUGACAGUUGUUUUGACUUUAGAUGUAUUUGUAGAAUAGAAACUUAGCCAACAAGUUAAUCUUGUGUUGGUAGCCUAUGGAAAAAGUUAACUCCAUAUAGUAGCUUGUAAAACAAGUUAAAUAUGUAGCCCAUACAUAGUUAACUUACCUUCCAAAUUAAGACAUGUAGCUAACAAAAUCAAGAUGUUUUGGAUGUCUUAUAGAACAUCGCCAUGUAGCUUCUAAUUAAGAGUAUAUAUAGAUGUAAGAGUGAAGCCUUCUUCAAGCUUGUCAAUACCUUUUUAGUCCUUAGUCUUGUUUCAAGACUUUUUAAUCUUUUCUUUUUUGGCAAUAGCCAUUUCAGUUCAAUAUUAUAUCAUCUUCGAGUGACUAUCUAGUUCUUUUCAGUGAUAUAAAAGUAUAUUGAGGAUUUUCUUUCUUUAAGAUUCAUAUCCUUAAUACAUGUAUUAUGAUAAUGUGGAAUUAAAUAUAUAUUAAUAAUAGUAGAACAUUUUAGUAAGUAGAUUGAAUUUAUAGCUUUAUCACAAAAUUCUUCAAAAUUGGCAGCUAAGGCUUUUUUUGGUCAAGUAUUGGUACAUUUUGGAGUACUAACUUAAAUCUUAAUAACUCAAGGAAGAAAGUUUUUUAGAAGUUUUGAAGCUUUAUGUACUAAGGCUUUGAUAGAUUAUUAUACCAUAUCUAAGAAUCAUCUUAAAUUAGUGUCAUGGAUAUAUAUAUAUAUAUAUAUAUAUAUUCGAAUAAAUAUCUAUAUGAUUAGGUAGAAGUAGAUAAAAAUAAAUAAAAAUAAGUUAAUUUGAUAAUACCUUCUAAAGAAGCUUCUCAAAAGCUUCAUAGACAUUGCUUUGACUUUAUAUGUAUUUGUACUUGAUUGUUAGGUUGAAAACUUAAUCAACAAAUUAAUGACAUAUCAGUAGCUUAUAAAACAAGUUAACUAUGAGACAUACAUAUAAAAAACUUGCCUUGCAAGUUAAGAUAUGUAUCUUACAAAGUCAACAUAUUUUGUAGAUUUUAUAGGAGACUACUACAUAAUUUCUAAUUAAGAAUAUAUAUGGAGGCAAGAGUGAAGCCUUCUUCACUCUUAACAAUGCCUUUCUAAUCUUUAAUCUUGUUUCAAGACUUUUUAAUUUUCUUGUUUUUGAUAAUAUUCAUUUUGAUUCAAUAUUAUAUGAUCUUUGAAUAACUUUCUAGUUCUUUUUAAUGGCACAAGAGUAUAUUGAGAUUUUUUUUUGUUUUAGAUUCAUAUCUUUGAUACUUUGAAAAGAGUCAUAACUUAUUAUUUUUGUCUUAUUUCAAACGUGAAUGAACUAUCUCACUUCUAUUGUUAUAUUUUGAAGGUUGUAGACUAUCUACCUUUAAAAAAAUAAUCUUAUUUUUUAAUACUAAGUUUUUUCUAAAAAAGAGUGGAUUACUUUUCUUUGUAGAAAUUUCAUUUGAUAUUAGAAGUUGUGGAUUAUCUUCCUCUAACUUAAUUUUUUGAAUUUAUUUGAAUUAUUUAUAAAAUAAAAGAUUAUAUAUCAUACUCUUAUCAAAAAUAAGAAUAGAUUUGUAACUAUGGUAGACCUUCAUGAGCUUUUCAAUAAUUUAAGAAUAAAAAUGCCAUAUAUUUUUAAUAUAAAUUAUCGAGGUACUAUUCCUACGCCUAUAGAAGAGGUUCAAAGUCUGCAAUAAGAAGUUGUAUAAUUGAAACAAGCAAGUAGAUUGACCUUACAACCAAAUCCAAAGAAUUUUGCAUCUAUAAGUAUGAUGGAAAUAAGGAAUAGUAUUCUUAAGAAUUUCGAUAGAACAAGAUCAAAAUUUCAAGGAUUUUGACAAAAAAUCAAGUUUUAUCUAAGGUUACAUCUUUUCCAAUAUACUAAUGGAUUUACUUAAGUCAAAUUUAUAAGCAUACUUCAAUCAAGAAGUAUUCUUUUUUUAUUUGUACCAUUAAUGAAAAAUAAUUUAUGACUCCUUUAUGAUUUGAAUUCAUUCUUAGAAGUGUUUAUGGCCACAUUCAAAAAAAGUGAUCAAAAAAGAGUAACAAAGACAAAAUACUUAUCUUUAUGAUAAGGAUCACAAUCAACCACCAUAUAUGUUGCUAAAUUCCAAAACCUUGCUUGCAAUAUGGACUAGAAUAACAAAAUCUUUAUCAAUCAAUUUCAAUAUGGGUUGAAGGAUAAUAUCAAAGAUUUAUUUUUGACAAUGUGAAAGAUAAAAUCUUUGGAACAAUUUAUUGCUCAAGCCAUUGCAUGUAAUAAUUGAUUAUUUAAAAGACAUCAAGAACAAAGACUUAUCUAGAAAGGAACAAAUCAUAUAAUGAUGACAGCUCCCAAGUUUUUAAAAACUUAUUCAUCAAGGUUACAACCAAUAUAAAUUAAUAUGGUAUAUUUUAAAUCCCUCAUGAAGCAGAAAAAGACUUGUUGACAUCAAAAAGGCUUAUAUUUAUAUUAUGGAGAAGCUAAACGUACUACUCAAUAUUAUCCAAAAAUAAUGCAACUACAAAAUAAAGAGCAUGGUUGCCAAAAAAGACUAUAUAUCAAAAAAUAAGUUUCUAUAGCUAUAAUAGAGAUUGUGCAGUUAAAAACUUGUCUAACUCUUAAUAAAGGUGUUAUUCUCUUCUUAGAUCCCUCACCUCAUUUUAUAAUAGAAGUUUAUUUAGGACUAAAAAAUCACAAAGUCUUAGUUUUAUUAGAUUCAGGAGCAUUAACCUAUUUUGUAGACAAAGAUUUUGUUAAAAAAGAAAAAAUAUCAUUAAUCAAGAAAACUAAAUUUAUACAUGUAGAAGUCAUAGAUGGUCAUUUGCUAUCUUCUAGAGAUAUUACAUAAGAAACCGUUCCUUUAGAUAUAGCAAUUAAAGAUCAUAAUAGCAUAGUAAUAUUUAAUGUAAUAAGAUCUCUAUUCAAUUUGGAUAUUUUAAGAUUAUCUUAGUUUAAAAAGUAUAAUCCUCAAAUAGAUUAGAUUUCUUAUAAUCUUAAUUUUUUUGAUAUUUUAAUCAAAAAUUCCAUUAAUUAAGUAAAAAUACAUAAGUCUAUUACAUCCAAAUUCUUACUAGUAGUUACAAGAGCUUUCAUAUAUGCUGCAAAAGAAAGAUUAUUUUUUGCUAUAUAUGCCAUGCCCAUUUUUAAUAGUAGAAAGAUGUCAAGAAGUAUUCUUGGCCAAUAUUAAGAUUUUGAAAACAUUUUUGAAUAAAAGAGUGCAAAUAUUCUUCCAAGGUAUUGUCGUUAUGAUUGUUCCAUUGAUCUUUGAGGAAUUCAAUUACUAUUUGGACCAACAGAUUCAACAAAGGACUAAUGAAGGAUCCAAAAAAGGUCUAGACUAUCAUAGAUUGGAAGAUUCCAAGAACAGUAAGAGAUGUGCAAUAUUUUUUGGACUUUGCCAAUUAGUAUCAGAUCUUCAUCAAGAUUUUUUUUUCAAAUUAUAGCUCAACUUACACGUUUGACUUGUAAAGACAAAUUUGAAUGGAAUAAAGAAGCCAAAGUAUUUUUUAUGCUUUAAAAAAAGAAUUUAAAUUUGCACCAAUUUUAUAUUUUUUUUACUUCUUGAAGGUAUUUUUUAUAGAAACAAAUACAUUAAACUUUGUUUUAGAUGCACUAUUAUCAAAAAUAAGAACAAAUAACAAAUUCCAUCUAGUAGAUUUUCUUUUUAAAAUGAAAUUCAAUAACCUAGAUUAAUUAUAAAAUCUACGAUAAAGAGCUGUUUGUAAUUUUGGAUUUAUUUUAAGAAUGGCAUUAUUAUUUAAAAGGCAUCUUGAGUCUAGUCACUAUGUAUACAAAUCACAAGAACCUUGCGUACUUCAUGUCAACAUGCUUUUGUAUAAUAACACUACUAUAUGAUAAAAAAUAAAGAUAUGAAUAUUAUUAUAGAAGAGCCUAGUAGGAACAUAUCAUAGAAAAAUAAGGAUAAAUAAUAAGAAGGUAAUAAAAGAUUUAGUCUUAAUGCUCACUUUAGAAAAGAAACUUCUAUUUGCUUUGGAGUGGCAUAAAUACUUCAAAUCGAAUUAAAUAAAAUAAAUAAUUGAUAUAGAUAUGUUUAGAAGGAAAUAAUCAAUAGAUUCAAGCAAAAUUUAUCUCAAAUUAUCAAAUAUUGAUAUUUGGAUAGUACCAGUUGUCAACCUGAGUCAAAAUCAGAUCCCAAAGUAUGAAAGUGCAUAACUAUGGCAAUUCUAAAGUUCUUUGGUAGAUUGAAGAGUGGGAUUUGAGAGCAAACUAGCAAAGAGAUUUUUUAAUAUUAGUUUUAUGUAUUACAAUAAUGUAUUUUGAAUCAUUGCCAAGCUUAUUGGAGCAUGUUUUUAUCAAGAUUUGAUUUUAAGAUCACUUAUCAAUCCAAAAAAUAAUAAGAUUUAUUACAUGCUUGUUUUAGACAUUAUUAUCUAGAGAUUUUUAGUAGCGACAAAUAUAAAAGGUAGUCAAAGACUUUGUAUAAUUAUAUGAUAUUUAUUCAAGAUCCAAAACUCCUUGUCAUUGACCUUAUAGACUUCUUUAGCCAUUACUUAUUCCAAAAUAACCAUGGUCUUCCGUUUCUAUGGAUUUUAUUACAAAUCUUUCAAUCUCAAGUUUGUAUGAUUUUAUAUUUGUAGUAGUAGAUUAUUUUAUCUAGAUAGCAUAUUUUGUAUUAUGUACAAAAUCUAUCACAAGUAAAGAAAUAGCUAAGUUUUUUCUUAACAACAUCUAUCGCUAUCACGGAUUGCCUAAAGAUAUUAUAUUGGAUAAAAAAAUUCAAUUUAUUUGGGUGAAUCAAGUUUUGAAGCAAUAUUUGAGGUGCAUCAUCAACUAUCAUCAAGAUGAUUAGACAAUUUUUUUAUCAUUGACAAAUUUUGUAUAUAAUAAUUUGGUAUAUUGUUUCACUCAACAAAUAUCUUUGUUUAUCAAUUAUGGUAAUUAUCCACAAUUAAAUACUUUUGACUUUUUAAAAGUUGAUAAUCUUGUAAUAGAAGAUUUGGCAAAUUAUUUGUUAAAGCUACAUGCAACAAUAAAGAUGCAAUUAAAGGGAGCUCAAGAAUGACAAAAGAUUAAUGUACAUGAUUGUUAUAAGAAAUAACCACAAUUCAAUGUAGGUGAUAAAGUAUAAUUACUUUGUCUCAAUAUCAAGACUACUCAUUUUUAUAAUAAGUUGGACUAUCAUAGGCUUAGAUCUUUUUUUAUUAGUGAAUAAAUCAAUCUUUUUGCUUAUCAAUUAUAUCUACGAGAUUCUAUGAAGAUCCACCCUAUAUUUUAUUUGUAUCUUUUUGAGCCAUAUAAGACAUUGAAUAUCUCAAGAAGAAGACAAAUACUACCUCUUCUUAUAGAAAAGGAUAAUAAUCAAAAGUUCAAAAUGGAAGAAGUCUUAGAUUUAAGGUGGUAUUGAAAUAGGUUAGAAUAUCUUCUUCAUUAGCAUGGAUAUGCUAUCAGUGAACGUACAUGGACGUGAGCAAAGAAUCAUGCAAAUGCAACAAAGAUAGUUGAAGCUUUUUGUACAAUAGAUAAAUAAACUUUGUUGUAAGUUACUAGUUGGUUAUUGAUAACCUUGAGAAUUAGACUAAUGAUUAGGCAGUUUAGUUAAUUACAGUAGGUUGUUAAUGGAAUAAAUGGUUAAGAAUUCAAAGGGUCAUUACCUUUGGAAUCCGUUGGCCGACGGUCCAUCUUUUGGUAGGAUAAAGAGGUUGAGGAAAAGGAGAUCAGGGCUAGACUAUGAGAGUCGUAAACCAAGAGGUUAGACUGUGAUAGUUGUAAGCCGGGACAAGCUUGGUGCUACCUCUUUUUUUUUCUAUGUUGUUGACAAGUAAUGGAUAGUUUUUGAAUUCUGAGAAGUUAGUCUAGAGUGCCAGACUGUGAGAGUCGUAAGCCGAGAUAUUGAAUUCUCUGUGAUGAAUUGAGAAACUGAAUACAAUAAGUAAGCUAGAGAUCAGUAAUUAAAUAUAUAUAAACCACAAAGAGAGUAAGUGGGAGAUGAACUGAUAAGAAUAUGGAAGUAUUGUUGAAUUCAUAGUCAUAGAAUGAAUUAUGUGUUGAAUUAAGAUAGAAGUAGUAAGCCUUGGUGUUAUUUAGUUUGAUAAUUGAUUUUAGAUAGCAGGAGAAAAAUCAAUUGUGACCCUAACAAAUCCAAUUCAUAUAACCAGUCUUUUCUCGUGUUCAAAUCUACCUCUAAUAGUUCAAUUGCUUUGGUAUACUCAAGCUUGAAGACAACGAGAAGAACAUUUUGGCACCGCUGUCAAAGAAAUGAUAAUAAUAUGAAAUAUUAGAAAUUGAUUGUAUAGGAGAUGGAAUUAUAUGUUGAAUGAGAAUGUGAAAAGAACUAGUUUUAUGGUUACAAAUAUGUGAGUUAUAAUUCAAGGCAGUAUUGAUUUUGUAAAGAAGAAUAGAAAAUUAUAAGUGAUAAUCAUGAAAGGGAGGAUUAUCAAAGAAUUAAUUGACAAGCGAAAGAAAGAUAAGAGCAAUUAUACAUAAGAAAUCUCCUAUGAGAACGACAAAAAGGAAUUGUAUGUCCAAGUAAAACCAAAAGAAAAAAAAAUCAAAUUCAAAUAGCAAGGAGACUAGUGAUAACACCAAUGGCCGCGAGAGUGCCAGAAGUACCAAUUGUAGUACAAAUGGGAGGAGUAGGAGACCAAACUACAAGUAUGGCACCAUUAUCUAUUUUUAAUAGUUGGCCAGGUUCUGAUCAUGAUCACCAUAUAUCUCAAUUCUUGACAGCCUGCGUGGCUAAUAAUGGUAGAAUUAAAGACAUUUGGUUGAGAUGGUUGCCAGCAACUUUAAAAGAUACAGCUUUUAAAUGGUAUAUUCGGCAACCAGUGGAUAGAUUUCUCAAUUGAGAAGCCUUGAGGAAUGCCUUCCUAAUCCAUUUUAGACUAAUUGGAUUUGAAGAUCAGCUUGGAGAAAGUUUUAUAACUAGCAGGAUGUUUGCGGAGGAAUGAGUGGAGUCCUAUUAUGGCCGGAUUGCGGAUAUACUUUGUAAAUGGUCAAAUAAUCAAAUAUCAGAUGCAUUUAUAUUGUCGAUAUUAAUCAAUGGUUUGCAUCUACCAGAAUUGAAAAUAUUUGUAAAAGAGGUUUGACCAGCUACAAUAGACGCAUCGUUGGCACGAGCAAAGGUGUGAAAAGAAUGUCAUUAUGACUAAUUGUUAACAGCGGAGGCCACAAUGAUUCCAAGUUCAGGAAGCCAACAAAUACAAUCAGAAAAUGUAUCAAUGGAUAAUUAUCCACAAAUGGCUGACUCCAACAUGAAGAAUGUUAUGUUACAAGAAUCAAUUAAUGCUACACGACUCCAAGCAAUAGCGCCAAUAACAAUGAUACCUUAUUGUACAUCGCCAAUCUAUCAACAAUUGGAGUUGUUCACAAAUGUGACUGUUAAAGAUCCAAAUGAAGCCUUGUUAUUAAAUCUAACAAAGAAGAUAGAAGAAUUGGCCUUGAAUUUGGCUAAAGUUAAAGAGAAACGACAUAAGCCUUCUAAUAUGAGACCUAAUGUAUGGUAUAAUAAUUGUAAGAGAUAAGGUCAUUUUGAUACGGAAUGUCCAUCACCUAGAUAAACAGGUAUUCAAUAUACAUUUUGUGGAAGAAAGCACCCUACUCAAAAUUACUAGCAUUUAUAAAGGCAACAACAAUUCACUAAUUAGACGAUGAUCCCACCGACUCAGUGAAAAGUCAAUCAAGUUCAAACAAAAAAUAUGUAUGGAUGGAAUGGAAAUCGAUCUAAUUGACAAAAUUGAACAUUCAAUAACUUUCAAAGUUCCAAUUUUAAUCAAGGGUCUACAUCAAACCCUCAGAACUACGGGAAGAAGUAGUAGAAGUAUCAGCAAUAUAUUCCACUGACAUCAUCGAACCAAGUACCCUCUAUACAAACGGGACAGCCAGGAUUAUUUUCUAAUCCUACAUGGAAUAAGCCUAGUAGGUAUAUACCAGUUGAACAACCCAAUAUGCCAGAUGGAGGUGCAAGAAGACCACUUCGUUGUUUUCGUUGCAAACAGAUUGGUCAUUAUGCUAGUAAAUUUUCUAAUCUCAGAGUCAAUGACGAUUACGCAUCAGUGUGUGUGAAUUGCAAGCAGUCAAGACAUACUUAUCAACAAUAUAAUGCUCCAUUCGAUUUCAAUAAUGGAGAUCAGCAAAUCCAAAGCCAAGGAAAAAUGGAGGAGAUAAAUCAAGGUCUUCAAGAUUCUCUGGUAAAUCGAAUGGAAUGUGUUCAAGCCAUUCUUAUCAAGAGUCAGAAAAAGAAAAAAUGACCAAUUCAACAUUUGGGUGAUCUUGAAGCGAAGGGCCAAUUGGAUCCAAUUAUGGGGCCCUCUUAUCCAGGUCUUGAAAUGGGCCCCUUACUCAGUAUAAGACCUGAAUUAGUUGUGCAUCCUAAUGAAUUAUCAAUUACGGAGGCUUUGGUUUCCUGUCAAGCUAUUUCAUUCUCUACAUAGUUUUGAGAAACGUCCUUUCCGUGGAAAGAUCCUCUUAGAGGUGUGAAUUCUAAAGAAUCAAUAUCAAUCCAAUUAGGAGAACAAUCUUACCCGUUGAAAGAACCGAUUUUAUAGGCUCUGUCAAAUUUAGUUCUAGAGCUUUACCAAUUUUCAAUAUAGAGAAAAUCAAUUUACCUACGUUAGUGUCUAGGACUGGGAAGAAGAAACGGACAUUAUUUUAGAGAUUCUUGAAAUUCCAUGAUAUCAACCAAUUAAUUUAGGUGCAGGGGAGGCUCCUCAAAUCAUUCAGAUUUAUGACGGUAUAAAAGGCAAGGAUGGAGUUUUGUGAUGCUAUAUUUAUCAAACUGAAGUAUGUACUACAUUGGAAGGUUGCCACUUGGACAGUUGUGGUGGAUAUUUUGCGGGGAAUAGCACGGCUCGUAAAGCUUUACAAGCUGAUUAUUAGUGGUCAAUAAUGUUUGUAAAUGCCUACUAAUUCAUCUGUCAUUGUGAUCCAUGUCAGAGAACGGAUCAACCUACUUGAACUUCAGCAAUGCUAUUGGUACCAAUUCUGGCUCAAGCGCCUUUUGAAAAAUAGAGAAUUGAUUUUGUAGGACCAAAUACACCAGCCUCGAGAAAUGGACAAAAAUGAUAUAUAAUAGUAGCAACGGAUUACGUAACAAAAUGGGCUAAAGCAAUAGCUACGAAAACUGAUAGUGUAAGUACAGUAGCAAUCUUUUUGUAUGAAAAUAUUAUUACACGUUUCGAUUGUCCACAAGAAUUGGUUAGUCAUCGAUGAACUCAUUUUAUAAAUAGUACAAUUGAAGCACUUACGGCUAAAUAUGAGAUAAAACAUCGAAAGACUACACCGUAUCCCCUAGAACCAAUGGACAAAUGGAAAAGACUAAUAGAAUUUUAUGUAAAAUCUGAACAAAAAUAAUUUUAGGAGUGGGAACGGAUUGAGACACUAAGUUAUUCGCAGCUUUAUGGGCAUACCGUACUGUGUAUAAAGUUACUACCAAUGCUACUCCUUUCCAAUUGAUUUAUGCCCAGGAAGCAAUAUUACCUAUUGAAUUGGAAGUCCAAAGUUUACGAAUUGCUAUAGAUACUAAAUUGGGAGAUCAAGAUUCAUUACGGUACUAUUUAGAAGAAUUAGAACAAUUGGAUGAAACUAGAGCCAAUGCAUUAAUGUUCAUGGAAACUACCCAAAAAUGAAAGAAGACUUAUUAUGAUAGUAAGCUUAGACCAAAAGCUUUUAUGCCAAAUGAUUUGGUACUUCUUUAUGAUUGUCGAUUUAAAAAAAAUUCAGAAAAAUUUCAAGUUCGAUGGGAUUGGCCAUAUCGAAUUAUUGACGGAUUUCCAAAUAAUUCCAUACAAUUGGAAGAUUUUACGGGUACUAAAUUUAUGACACGGAUCAAUGGCAAUCAGCUUAAAUUUUACUAUACAUAAACCCGAGAUGGGUUUUCUGUUCCAAAAAAAGGAAGGGGAUAAAUAAUGAUGAUGAUAGGAUAUUUCAUCAUGACAAAUCGUGGAAAAUAAGGGGGAGUCGACCCAAUUGAUUGGACCAUAGUGAGAAGUAGGAGGGGGAUUCUUGACAAGCAUCGUGUUUUCUUUUGUAGUUAAAGAGAAGAUAGCAAACAUGGUAUCUGAAAAAGCAAGGAUGGAGAUCGAUUGGAAGAAAUGGCAAGAACGGCUGCAGAUAGAGGUUGCAAUGUUGCAGACUAAACUAGCCGCAUUAGCGAAGGCCAAUAAUUUAAUGCAAACCAAUAUGCCAGUUUUAGCGAUAACACCUCCAGAGAUAUCUUUGAAAUUGAUAGAAGAAUGGUAGAAGAUGUUAGAGAAGCGCGACAACCAAAUUGCCAUCUUCAGUCUCAAGUAUCGAAAUUGGAUUUGUUGAAUGAAGAUUUGAUGGCAUGUUUGGAUGGAGAACCAUCGAACACCGAGGCAGACGACGAAGAUGUAGCAGAGAAGAAAGUCACUAAUUCAAAGGAUGAUAAGCCAACGCCAUUGACUGAAGAAGCCAAUGCUGCUACGUCUUUAUAAGUAGAGGCCAAAUAAUAUUUGCGAGGACGUUGCAUAGAUAAGAGUGGGGCUAUAUAGAAUAGGCAAAUAAACUUUGUCGUAAGUUACUAGUUGGUUAUUGAUAACCUUGAGAAUUAGACUAAUGGUUAGGCAGUUUAGUUAGUAGCAGUAGAUUGUUAGUGGAAUAAAUAGUUAAGAAUUCAAAGGAUCAUUACCUUUAGAAUCCACUGGCCGACGGUCCAUCUUUUGGUAGGAUAAAGAGGUUGAGGAAAGGAAGAUCGGAGCUAGACUGUGAGAGUCGUAAGCCGGGACAAGCUUGGUGCUACCUCUUUUUGUUUCUAUGUUGUUGACGAGUAAUAGAUAGUUUCUGAAUUCUGAGAAGUUAGUCUAGAGUGCCAGACUGUGAGAGUCAUAAGCCGAGAUAUUGAAUUCUUUGUGAUCAAUUGAGAAAUUGAAUAUAAUAGGUAAGCUAGAGAUCAGUAAUUAAAUAUAUAUAAACCACAAAGAGAGUAAGUGGGAGAUGAACUGAUAAGAAUAUGGAAGUAUUGUUGAAUUCAUAGUCAUAGAAUGAAUUAUGUGUUGAAUUAAGAUAGAAGUAGUAAGCCUUGGUGUUAUUUAGUUUGAUAAUUGAUUUUAGAUAGCAGGAGAAAAAUCAAUUGUGACCCUAACAAACCCAAUUCAUAUAACUAGUCUUUCCCCGUGUUUGAAUCCACCUCUAUUAGUUCAAUUGCUUAGGUAUAUUGAAGCUUGAACACAAUGAAAACAACACUUUUUAUAAAUGAUAUCUAUCAAAAUUAAGAUGAAGAAUAACAAAUCUUUGCUCUAAAAGAAACAAGAUCCAAAGAAGACAACAUUUUAUUUUCUACCCUUUUUUUAGCUUCUAUAUAUUUGUAAUACUAAAGAGAUGGAAAAUCAACAACUUAUAGAUUCGAUCCAAGAGCUUUCACUUGUUGACUUACCAAAUGAGAUAUUACAAUUGUUACAACUUUCAAGUUGACAUUAUUGAAAUAAAGUUCCUUAAGAAUGACAUAUUCUUCUUCAAAUAGAUGACGAGAUAUGUAUUUGAUAUCAUGACUUUGGAAGAGACUCCCAAUGUUUGGUGAUUUUAUUAGAUGUAAAAACAACUCUUGAUGAUGUUUCAAAUAUUUUAUUUGAAAGAAGUUAUGAAGGCCUCAACAACAAUCAAAUAACACGGUGGUCUUCUUAUCUUAGUAUAGAAUAUUAUUAUUGGUUGAGAGGAUCCAUCAACCAUCUUCAAAGAAAACAAAUAUCAAGGUAUGUGGCAAAUAUAAUUUGUUACAUUUUGUAAUUCAUUAAUAUAUGAUGAUCACUCUUCAUAGAACUCAUGUUUAGAAGGAAAGGUAAUAUCACGGAUAUACAUAUGUAUUUUAAUAAAUAUCUAUAUGAUUAGAUAGAAGUAAAUAAAAGUAGAUAAAAAUAUGUAAAUUUCAGAAUAUCUCCUAAGGAUGUUGCUUUGACUUUAGAUAUAUUUGUAAUUGAUUGAUAGAUUAGAAAAUUAGUCAAGAAGUUAAUCAUGUGUUGAUAGCUUGCAAAACAAGCUAACUAUGUGGCAUACAUAUAGAAAUCUUAUCUUAUAAGUUAAGAUACAUGUCUUGUAAAAUCAACACAUUUUGGAAGUUUUAUAGAACAUUGCCAUGUAUUUGCUAAUUAAGUAUAUAUAUGGAGGCAAGAGUAAAGCCUUCUUCACUCUUGUCAAUGCCUUUCUAGUCUAAUCUUGUUUCAAGACUUUCUAAACUUCUUGUUUUUGGCCAUAGCCAUUCUAGUUCAAUAUUAUAUGAUCUUUGAAUAACUUUUUAGUUCUUUUCUAUGACACAAGAGUGUAUUGAGGAUUUCUUUCUUCAAAAUUGAUAUCCUUGACAUACAAUUGGCCUAAUUGAGUGAAUUGUUUAGACUAUCAAACAUAGAUUAUGAAAGUAUGGAUUACUUCAUGACAAUCAUUAUAAUUAAAACUUAAUAUUUUUGUAGAUUUCAAUAGAUUAUUGUUUCAAUAGACAAGUAUCUUUAAUAUCUUAUAGUUCUUACUAGUUAUUGUAUGGAUAGGAGCCAAUUCUACCUAGUUCAGUAUGUAAGAAGCUAGCUCCAAUUGUGGACUUAGAUGAUCUUUAUGUUUGAACUCAAUGUCUAUAUGAUUAAAUAGAGUUCUUUGAAAAAGCCAUGCCUAUGGCUAUGAAAAACUUACCUAUUGGUCAACAUCGAGAUACUUUAUGAUAUGCUUGCAUUUAUAGUAGAGCUUAUUAAACCCACUUGUAAAAAUUACCUAAAAAAGAUUAUGUGUAUUUGCAAUAUGAGGUACAUAUAAUACUUGAUAUUAAGGUAGGGCACACAAUUUUGCAUAUAAAGAAUGUAUUUCUUAAUAGUAUUUUGUUAUUAAAAGGCAAAGAUGGACAAGAGUGUUGAAAACAUUCAAAGAAUUGUACUCCUUAUCAUCUUCCUAUUGAUGAGUACAAUGUAUUGUGUUUAAUGAUCUUUGUUUAUAUGAUAGCUAUCAUGUGAUAUAGCAUCGAGUAUCAAAUCUCAUCACAUGUAUGUAAUUUAGUUUGGUUAAUGGUUUUUCAUCCAAUAGUAGUUUUUUUGUUAAUUGACUUAUUCAUGUUAAUUAAAAUUUGAGUACUUAAAUAAAGAAAAAUUCUUGACUUAACAUUCUUGUCAAGUCAAGUCUUGUGAGUGAUUUUGAGAGUUAGAGAAUUUGUUGUAAGGGUUUGUUGGCUAUGGUGUUUUAGCCAUUUUAAUAAAGUUUUAAGGUUCCUCUUAUUUCUACACUUGCAUUCUUAGAUUCUCUCUUUGUAGUGUGAGAGAUAGCUUGAUUUAGUUUGGUAUAGAUUUCCAAUCUUUCUUUGAAAGUGUAUUGGGUGUACAUUUGUAUUUGGUUUAAAUUACAUACUUUAUGAUUGGUUGAUAGCACUCAAUGUAUUGUGCAUAAUGACCUUUGUUUAUAAAAUAAUCUUGUUAAAUUGUGAAAUAGAUAAAUUACAAUAAAACUUUGACUAAUGAAUACACUAUUGUAUCAUUGAAAGAAAGAAAGUAGACAAUUAAGAGUUACAUAUAAAGUAGAUAAAAAACUUUUUCUACUUACACAAAAUCUAGAAAGUUUUAAAUGAAGAUUAAAACAUAAGAAAGUUAUUAAUAAGAUUGAAAAUGGCUUUAAAUUUUCUUCUAUUUAUAUUAUCUAUCAAAAAAGUCUUAUAAAAGCUUCUUGAAAAAUGUAAGGCUUAUGGUUGAAGUGUUAUGUUAUAGGUUUCUUCUAAUAUAACUUUCUAAAAGGAAAAAAUAUAUAGAAAAAAUUUCAAUAGUUAUAUAGGAUAUCUAUAAAAAUCUAAAUAUAAUCUAUAUCUUUGAAAUCUUAAAUCUUAAACCUUAAACCUUAAUUUUAAUGUAAAGAAGAUUUGUUAAUUACUUUAAAUUAAUAUUAGAUAAUAAUUACUCUUGUUGGAUAUUGAUCUAUAAGUAUCCAUCUAAAAAUACUAUUUUUUGUAUUGAAGUUAAGAAGUUAUAGUAAAAAAAUUAUGUUAAGAUUAAUUUUACACCAAUAUUUAAUUUGAAUGAGAUUUUAUAAAAUUCAACUUUAAUAUGGAUUAUUAAGAUUGAAUUUUAAUUAAAAAAUUAGAAAAAAAUAAAAUAGUAAGUUGGUAAGUAAUAUAUAUUUAAGAUUAAUUCUAACAAAAGCAAAUUUUUAAGAACAAAAAUACUAAUAUUUUUGAUCUUACAAUGGAUAUUUGAUACUAUUUGAUUUAUCUUUCUCACUACACAUACACAUAUGACUAUUGGUCGUUAUGGUUUAAUAAUUAUUUUCUAAAUGUGGUCUAUCAUUUCAUAAUAGAAUAUAUAAUCAUACAUCUUUGCAAAUCAUGUAGCUAGUAAUGGCAUUUAUGCUUGGCUUCCUACAUUUACAAGCUUCACAUAGUAUGUCUAAUAUGGAUUUUGGAAUAAAGCUUGCUAUUGGCAAUAAUUUCUAGCUUAUUUAGCUAAGAUCCAAAUUUUAAAUUCAAAAGAAGAUCAAAAAAGCUGAAGAUUUUGUUAAUAUAUUGCCAAAUAUUUUGAAUAUUAAGAAGCCUACUUUCAUUUUUAGUAUUACACUUUUUAAUGUAACAAACUCAAUUUGAUGUUGUUUUUAGAUGAAGAUUAAUUACUAUUAAUAUCUAUAUCAAUCAAUGAAUCUAAUAACUAUAUUAAUUAUGUAACACUAAAUUUUUAGCUUUAUUGACCUACUUCUAAUAGUUAUGACUUUAAGUUGUUUUUGUCUAUUGUAUCUAGAUAAUAUAGAAUUAACUUUUUAUCUAGAGUUAUCUUGCAUAUUUUUUCUCAACAUUGAUUUUAUCUUCAUCUUCCAUAAGGUAUUAAAAUUAGAAGUAUCAAUAUUAGUAAUAAGGACUUCUUUUCUAUGGAUUAGAAUUCAUAGUUUUGUGGAAGACUACCAAAACCUAUGCAUUAUUAUCCUAAAAUAGCUCUCUUGAUUGCCAUGUAGCCAAAUGUAUUGGUGACUUAAUGCGUUUCUCAUACAUAGCCAUUCCAAAUAGAUAUUUUCUUAAAACCCUAAACCUGACAUCUCGAGACACUUCCCUUUUCUCGGUCAAGCUUAUUUACGCAUUCCAAAUUAUGGCUUCACAUCCAAACAAUCUCUGUGGUCUAGUCUCAUUCACCCACACUUGCAGUCAGAGCAAAGCCUGGAUUUGUAAUCUUCUCCAUGAACCUUUUCAGACCCAUUGAAAUACAUGAUAAAGAAUGAACUCCAGAGUUGCUGACGAUAUCUUUUUCCAAUUACAUUCGACGUUUUACCAUUUCCAUGCGUGCACAAAGUCCAGCAGUUGGAAUAUCGGGUUCUAGAUUGCUAACACGAAAGCUAUCGGCUUCUUAUGCAGAAAUUCACAUCAAAAAAAUUUCAACAUAAAAGAAUGCAAUAUAUAUAUAUAUAUAUAUAUAUAUAUAACCCACAUUAGUCCACAUAAAACCAAUGAACACGAUCUACACAGCACAACCGAAACAGAUAAUAGCGCAGUUGAUCCACAUCGUUUAUUUCCAUUUACUCCAAGGAAACUCUACACGUGUACAUCUGGAAAGGAUAGAAAAUCCACAAACAGUUGACGUAAUGAAAAUGCCAAAAUGUAUGCCAGAGCUUCUAAGGUUGAAUUAUGAUCAAAGAAUAUAUGUGCGUACGAUUCGUUUGAAUGCCUUUGUUCGAGUUAAAGUCCAAUUCACAAAUCACCUCUUGAAUGCAGAUUUCAUCUGCUCCGGACAACUCGAUGUUUCUAACCUUGAGAUCAUCCGGCAUCCCCAUGGGGUCUUCAGAACUCUAUCAAGAUCUUGCUUUGGAGUGGUUCCAAUGUACGCGUUCUCAGAUCUCAUCUGUGGUCUAGUCUCAUUCACCCACACUUGCAGUCAGAGCAAAGCCUGGAUUAGCAGGUUAAUAAUGCGAAGCACAGGGAAAGAUUACAGAACAUGAAGAGAUGAGGAUUAAUAAACUUAGAAAAUAUAGUGUUUCUAAACAAUUUUACGGUGAAAUAACCAGUACAAUCCCAGAAUUAAACACAAAGAAGACACUGAAUAAUGAGUUGGACAACCAACAUAAAACUAAAAGAUUUGAAUUUCGUCUGGACCUCCACAUCAGGCAUGCCAAGUCAUUGAGAAGUCUCACGUCAAGUCUCUGAUAUAGAUGGAUACUUAAAACUACAUGAUUAUAUCGUACCACUAGAAAAACCCGUGUUUAUCUGUAAACAAAUUCAGAGCAGAACCAGGUCACCAAAACGAGAAGGAUUCAAAUACGUACGUUCGCAGAUGAGUUACUCGUAGAUGGUUUGAGGGUACUCUGUGGCGCUAAGGGUAAGCUGUGAGAGGCAGUCAAUCCAGGUAACUGUUGAUCAAGGUCAACUCCAUGACUAUUAGAGUCCUUUUCCCGCUGCACCCGCUGCUCCUCUAAAACUUUCUCAUACCGCAAAAAAUUGGGUUGGUGCGUCGAUGAUAGUAGGCGGGCCCACAUACGAUCGCUUGUAUUUACAUGCCUCUGUUUCUCAACAGCUCUCUGUUGCAUAUCAAUUACCAACAAUCAAUUGAAACUCGACAUAACACAACAUAAGCAACCCGUUACGAAUUGCAGUUAAUGCGUAUCAUCGACAAGCUGAUACAAAUCUAAGGAUCAUGCUUGUACCAUUAGCUGCAACAUGAAAACGUCUUAGAUAGAUUAAGUUACAGAUUGUUUUCAAAGGAAGAUUUGUGCUCGGAAGUAGGAAAUUGAGAUCCAUGAAGAAAGACGAUAUCUGUACAGAGAUAGGGAUGUAGCAAUGGCGGUUGUUGACAGGACCAGCUGUAAACCCACAAAAACCAGCCAUAGCACCGUGGAUGGCACUAUGUGCCAACAAAGUGCAGUAGACGUUAUCCGAUGCAAUGCUAGGCACAGCUCGAAUCAUAUACGUUGGAUCUGCCAAACACAUCCACGUACAUUCAAAGAUUAAAAUUCCCAUUCGGCGGAUUAUAUUGCAGUAACAAAAGCCCACAGACCAUUUACAUUGGAUAAAAUGGGCAAACUGCAAAUGAAAACAGCAUUUUGCUGAAUUUAACUGGCUGCGAAAAAUCAAAAUCCGCAGUUAACUUAACCCGUUGAAAAGGAUGUUUGCAAAACCUUGAUCCAAUCAGGAUCUGCAAUUAGUACUGAACCAAACCGUUAUCAAGAUUUUACUAACUUAGAACACGGUUUAUUCAAAGUUAUCAGAUAAAAUUGGAGCAGAUGAGUUUACACAUUUUACCUAUGUAUUUCAGCGUGAUGGAUUCCUUAUGAACCUUCAAAAAAUGUUCCUGCAACAACGAAGACAUUUUCAAAAAAACUACCAACUUCUACAAAACUAGUUGGUAGUUGGCAGUGAAAAUAGAGUCAAUAACCAAACGAAAUACAUUGGGUGAUUGGUUGCCAACGAAAAAUGUUUAGUGUUGGCUCGUUUUCUAUAAACACCGUUCUGUUCUCUGACGGAAAUCAUAUAAGGUAGUAACUUAUAAAAUAAGAUGUCUAUGUAGUUUCGUUUUUCUAGCAAGAACUUUUGUAACGUAAAUAAUUACGAGUUCAUAAAAAGAGUACAAAAAUAUAAGACUAUUGCCCUGCACAGGAAGGUUCAAAACGUUGAAAACGAGAGCUUCGUGAAGGACACUAGCAUGCCUGAGGCUGGACAUACAAAAGAAAAAUGCAUCGUCCGCAUAAAAUAGAAUUAAAUAAGGGAUUAGUUAAAGAAAUAGGAGGGGAAUGGCAUGCACGUUUAACCUUCAGCCUUUGACAAAGCCAGAGACCAACGUCAAGCAGCAGGCGAUUGCCAGAAGCGUCACUCAUCUUGUCAAGAGAACUAAGGCUUUCAGCGAUAAGUUCCUGACCUGAACCUUCUGCUACAACAACCACCAUAUGACCAUUUUCCCUCAGCCUACGGUACACAAACUCAUACAGACCAUCCUCCCCUUCCAGAAAGAAAGGUACUUCCGGAAUCAAGCAGCAGUCCUGUUUUCCAUAACCGAUGGCAGAUACGGUGCAUCAGAAUCACAUCCUUCAACUACGUGGAUAAUCAAGGAAAAUAGUAUCUACUACCCAUAGUACCCAUUAUUACCAUGCAAUUAACAGAAGACGUAAUUUCAAUGUAUGACUCAUGCGGCAGACACUAUUUCAAAAAUAUAUAGACUUCUUCAAACCCAUCGAAAGGAGUCAGAUCAUUAAAAGCGACACUUAAACGAUAUUACAGAUCUGUUAGAGACACUAAUGAUUGCCAGAACUGUCAAGAAGAUAAUUACCACAUCACGACUCGCAAGAGUAGCGUACAUGGCAAUGUAGCCUGCACACAUGAACCGCAUCAAUAAAUAAUUUGAUUCCCAAACAUGGAAAACUCAAUCAUCAUGUAAAGUUCUAUCAUUGUCAAAUGUUGUAGAAAAGUCUGCAACAGAAUGGUUCGAUUCGAGUAAUGUCAGAACAUUACCACUGUAACGACCCAUGAGUUUGACCACCCCAACACCAUUAUGAGUACUUUCUGCUUCCACAUGAGCUGCAUUGAUUGCUCGUUGUGCUUCUUCCACAGCAGUGUCAAAUCCAAAGGACUUAUCAAUUAUCUGUUCAUUGAAACAAAUCCCAAAAGAGAACAAGUCAGAACGCACACGAAUGAAUUCAGGCAACAUGUGGAAAUAAGCACACAUGUGAAAAAGCGCGUCACUGUGUAGUAGGGAUGAUGUAUAGUACAUCAAUGUCAUUGUCGAUCGUUUUGGGGAUCCCCGCAACAACGACCUUCAAACCUCGCUUGAUUAUUUCCUGCAAUCAGCACUCAACUUAAUUAAGGACAAGCUUCACUGCAGCAGAGAACUAUGAAUACCACAUAGGAUACACUUAGAAACUUUCUAAAGAUUGAUCGAGCAAAAUAACGAACCUUGACAAACAAGGUGCUAAUGAAAGAACCACAUUUGCGUCUAAUUGGACCAAACUUGACACCGAAAAAAUUCCUCUGAUUCUGAUGAUUCGUUUAAAGGAUGCAACUAGGAUAGAUCUUUGACAUAGCUUCUCUUUCUGCAUCUUCAAGACUGCAAGCGCCAUGAAUACAGAAAACUUUGUUAAAUAUAAACAAUGCUAAGACUUACAAGUGCAAUAAGUCCAAAGUUUAACUACAGUGAACACGACACACCUCAUGAAUGGCUUCUGCACCCUUGUGAGUACCAUCUCCACCAAUAAUGUACACCUGAAGAAGUCGCACAGGUUUAAAAAGAACAUUUCUUGACUUGCUCACAACGCUUUUAGAGUAUCAGAUUGAAAAACCCUUUUAGUGAACAUCCACGUCCAGAACUUCAAGCUUUAUCUUUGUAAUCAUAGCAAUACAUUAAAUAAUAAUAAUAAUAAUAAUAAUAAUAAUAAAUAAGUAAUAAAAAAUAUAAAAAGGCUUCUACAAGCACCCUGCGUUUCACAACACUGGCAUGAAAAUAAAACGCAUUUUGGGUAUAGGAUUGAAAUAUUUUCAUUCCAGGACAUUUGCACUGCAUCUACAAUAUCCAAAGUUGAAUGUAAUAAUAUUUAUUGAUGCGUAUACCUGAUUGAUCCCACGGUUCUCAAUAGAGUCCACUAUCUUCAUCGUGUCAUGGCCGCCACGGGAGGUCCCCAAAAUGGUGCCACCUCUCUUAUGAAUGUCGUUCACCACUUUGGGAUUCAAAGUAAUUGUGUUGCGCGCAUAGAAACCUCUGUAACCUCCCUGCCAAUAGCAACAUAUCAAAAAAUCAAAUCCAAACGGAUUCCGAACACCACUUUUUCAUGAGCUCUAACCUGGAAAAGAUAGUAGUACUUAUCUAUUAAGGACAAGGCGGAAUGUAUAUGAAAACAACAGAAAGAGUAAUGUGAUAGAAAAGAAACACACAUCAAUCCCAUAAAUCUCUCGAACGCCAUAUUGAUACCAAAGUGCACAAACAAUCUCACGAAUCACAGUAUUGAGGCCUGGGCAUAGGCCACCACAUGUGACUAUACAUGCCUUCACCUCUUCCGCCCUGAAAUAAAUCUGCAAGUCCAAAGUGUAGAUUGUGAGAUCUUAUAAUAUGAAGCCUUCUAAGCAGUGAAAUCAUUGGUACUAUUAAUCAUUAGAAAUCAUAGACUGACAUGUCAACGGCUCUGCACACGGGUAAUAAUCUGUGUCUAAUGAUCGGUUAGAUCAACGAGGUUUCUGUCGCAUGAUAACCACAGAAAAAGGAGAAAACAUACCUUGUCUCUUGGCCCAGCACGUCUGAAGUGUAAGCCAGACCCAACGUUUUCCAUGUUCACUACUAUCUGUUGUAUUCCCAGAUUAAUGUUUUAGUAUGAAUCAUUAAAUUUUGAGGUUAUCUGUGCACAACUGGAAGAAACUCAAUUACAAAAUACUGACGGAUUGAUGUCAGUUGGUAAGAGUAGAUAUUCGAAAGUCAACAACUCCAAACAGAGUUGAUGUAUCAAGCUUGAACCCUACUUUGUUGAAUCCAUCUCAAAGCUGGCCAAUAAUACAAUAAGAAAGAUGUGCAAAAAAAACAUUAAUUUCACCAAAAACGAGUGAAGGCCUAAAAGUUAAAAUCUGUCAAAGCACCACUAAAAGUCCAAGUGCUGGAGAAAAACAUUGAAGGCAAGACUCGUGACUGAACCGCAACACAACUUGAUAAUUCAAAAAAUGAGAUGAACAAAUAUUUGAAUGGCUGAUAUCCCAACCAAAUUCAAAAGGCAUAGGAAACAGAGAAUCGAAGUAGUAGUUCACACUUACAUCCUUCGCAACAAAAUCGUCAUCAUCCACAAAGUAUUUCCUGCCUCAUUUUCAAUAUUCAAAUCAGUAUCAUGGUGUCUGCAUUCCUUUGGCCAUUACUAUAUACAGCUGUAAGGCUUUCGCUGUGAUACGCAUAAUAAUAGCUCCAAGAUAUAGAGGAAUCAAGCAUUGCCCAAGAAUUCAACAAAACAUCAUAAAAACAGACAAUCAACACCUUAACAUGUUAUACAUAAAGAUCAAGCUUCAAUUGAGAAGCACAGACUUGAAGAUAUCUAGCAAUUUCUGGCUUUGAACAUGUCUUUCUGCAAGCAUGCACCUGUUACUCGGAUUAAUCCAUGACGAAAACAAGUGAAAAAUUAGUGUUGGCGAAAAUCGCAAACAAGAGAUAUGAUUUCGAUCCUUACUUAACAGCAGAGUACGCUGGGUUGAACUUCAGGGGAUUCGGAAAUGUCUGUAACAAAAUAAGAACAUACAGUUAGGCGUCAAGGUCGUUAACGACACACCAUGUAAACCUGUUUCCACCCUGAUAGGAUCACUUUUAGGCAAUGGAAAAGAAAACAAGGGAAUCGAUCUUAAAUGUAUGCUGAUUUGGAAACCACUAAUUAAGAAAGAGGAUGUAAGAAGGUAUUGAGAAUUCGGUGUCCGGAUUAAGCAACUUCAUCGUGGGUCCAUUAAUGGGCUGAAUCUAAUUAAACAAACGAAAAUAAAGAUUAUGACAGAAACCACAGAAUUACAUUCGCAAAGGAUAAUCACAGAAUCUGAUACUGAGUUAGAAACUCAUGGUAGCAAAAAUAAUGGUACUAUGAAACUGGCAAGCAAGAGGUUCUUCUUUCAUCGCCGUCAAAGAAUCCAGCUUUGAAGAUAUACAGUGAGUUCAGAGUAAAAUACUAAUCGAGUGGAAAACAGGAAGAUUUAAGGCAUUUCACAAAAUUGAAACAGAAUUCUAACCUCUAGGUCUGGAAGCCAAUCAGUGAUGUGAGGAACGUCUUCAAACGUAGAGCCGCAAGCCCCCGCCUCUGACUUUGGAUUCAGAAGCUCGGAUCUGACAACGCCCCACUUUCCAGCUGCUCUUAAUUGAAUAUUGCUCACAUCGUGCAUCGGCCGAGCCCUAGAGCUACCACGACCCCGGACCCCAAAACCCAAAAAAGCACCACGACGAGGGAGGUUGGAUACAAGAGACUUAGAAUCCGCGUUGCCAUGGCUGGCAAGGGUGACAGCAGCGUGCAGGUAGUGAGCUGGAAUAGGUGCUACUGCCGCUGCCAUGACUAAUAAGACGGCAGUUAAUAUGGAUGAUUGCGAGGUACGUUGAAACCAAGCCGGGAGAAGGAAUGGGAUGGGGGAAACGCGAAUGUAGGAUUUCGUGAACUAGGGUGUCUUCUCCAGUGUGGCAGAAGAAAAAGGAAUGAGGGGAGGGAGAGAGAGAGAGACGUGAUGAAGAGGAUCACAAGGCAGGACCCAGUUUCCCAGUCUAUGGGGGGUGUGGGGGUAGGCGGUGGGUGUUGGCAAGCAAGUAAGGGGAGUGGCGGAUGAUGCACAACAGUGCAGGUGUGUCUUCGUCUUCUUCGUCGUCGUACCACAAUGAUUCUUCGCCACUACUGCAGCACAACAGCACUGCAGCAGAAGUAGGAGUAAGUGGUGUUGGAGGAGUAAGGUAGCCGACCCAUUGUCGACCACCCCCAUUACCAACCUAUAGUGUGUCUUAUUGUGCAGUUAGUCUACCAAGUUGGUCUCACACCAAUCAAAAAAAUUCUUAUUCAAUUGAUCUGAAAUAGGUUGUGGAUUGAUUAAAACAAUGUUAAGUGAGCAAUAAAUAAAAUUUAUUUAUUGUAGUUAAAAUGGAUUAAUGUGAACUAACAAUAGGUGGUAAUUGUUGGUUGGUUGGGGUGAAAUAAUAGUAUAACUAAGUACCACACUUCUCUUGAUAGCAUUAAUAGGUGUCACACAUUGUAGUUUUGUAAAAGUUGGAUUCUUGGUUUUAUAACCCACCAUUGGUUGGAAUUCGGUAACUCUAUAUGCCCUAAAUGGGUGGAAGAGAAUCUUCAAAUAAAUCAUUUAUAUAAAUUUUUUUUUUGGACCAAAUUGUGUAAAAACACUUGGAAUCCUCUUGAUUUUUAUUUCCCUAUAUGGGAGUAUUUUUUUCCAUUUUUCCACCUAUUGGAUAUAUACUAAGUUAUUGGAAAUGGAUUAUCUACCUUAGUCGAUAAUAAGGGAAGGAAGGGGAGGAACAGAAGACAGAAGCACAAUAGGGCUCUCUCUCUCUCUCUCUCUCUCUCUUGUUGCAUUUGCAUUCUUCAAUUGCACAACAAAUUCCUUGAAGUUGCUUCAACUUCAACACACUUACACAUUUAUCUAUAUGUCAUGUAGGUCACAAAAAUAGUUUAUAAUUUUAUAUUUCAUUAUAUUAAAAUUUCUCGUCUUUGUGAAUUGUAGAGAAUUUUUUUAAUACAUUCACUUAGGCAAAAUAACUUUUUUUUUUGUGGUUAUUAUAUUAUAGAAGGAAUAGAAGAGUCUAGAGCAGACAUCUACACAAGUAAUGAUAAGCUAACUAUUAUGUAGAUUGUGGAAUUUAAAUAUAUUCAUUUAUUUGAUAUUUCAUUGAUAUUUUCACAUUUAUCUACCCAAAAAGGCCACAUCCAAUGUACAUAAGUGUUUGUAUAUUGAACUUAGCAAAAAAAACAUUCAAAAUUCAAAAUUUUGUCUAAAAAUUAAUGAAUCUCAGAUAAAGUUAGUACUACUUAACAAUUUAAGAGAUAGCACAUUAAAAAAAUGACUCAUAAACAUUAUACUUCAAUAUAAUCUUUAAUAAAAAUUUAAAUUGCAUAUAUCUACACAUGCUAAAAGAAGCACUUUGUUUUUUGAUAUUACUUUGUAACAAGUAUUUAUUAGAACCAUAUAACAUAAUGAAUGGAUGAAUACAAUAUUAUCUUAUUAAAUGUUCAACUAUUUCUUCAAUAGAUUGUUAAGUACAAUCUAUAUUGUUCAAUAUGAAGUUUAAAAAAAUCCUAUUAAAUUCAAUUAAAUAAAAAAAAAUGAUCUUUUUAUUUGCUUAAAAAAUUAUUAUGAUAAAAUAAAAUAAAAAUAGAUAUAUCUAUGAAAUUCAUGCAUAUUUUUAUAAUAAGAUUGUAAGUGGUUAUAUUCAAAUUAUUAUUUUUUAUGAUAUGAAUUAUAGAAAUAAAUUAAAGUAUAUAUAUAUAUAUAUAUAUAUAUAUAUCAUAUUGAAAUAAUUAUAAUAUAUAUAUUUUAAAUGACAUGAAAUUGUUUUUUAUUUGAUUAGAGUGGAUUUGAAAUUCUUCCAUAAUUUGUUUAUUUAAAAUCAUACAAGCACCUUUAUAUUACAAGAUAAAAUAACUACCAAUAAUAUUAUAAUUAAAUUAUUAAAUAAUUUUAAAAAUAUUAUAUCAAGGAUAUUAUUUUAAUAAUAACUUUUAAAAGAAAAUAUACUCAUUUAUCACUAAAAAGAAAAAAAUUAACAAAAAAGAUAAAGAUAUAGAAUAUAAAAGAAAUAAAACUAGAUUUUAAUUAUUAUAAAGAAAUAAGAGAGUAUUGAAUCAUAACUUGAAUAUAAAGAAGGUGUUUAUAAAAUUAAAGAUAUUCUCAUUCUUGUUUUUUUCAUAUACUAGCUACAAAAAAGAUCUUGUAGAAAUCUCAUAAAAACCACAAGGCUUAUGAUCAAAGCAUCAAAUUGUAGGUUGCUUCUUAUGCAACUCUCUAAAAGUAGUAAAUUUAUGGGAAAAGCUUUAAUAAUUAAAUGAAAUAUCUAUAAAUAUAUAAAGGUAUAGUCUAAGUCUAAGAAACUUUUUUUUUAAAAUUAAAAAGAAAAUUUUAUAUAUUUAAUAUUUUAUUUAAUUUUAAUUAAUCAAAUAAUAAAUUCAUUUAUUAAAAAAUAUCAAAAAAUAUUCUUGUAUUAACUCUUAAUAGACAUAGUUUUGUAGCUAAACUAAAAAGUAAGUUAAUGAAAAAAUGUUUAAGCAUACACAUCUUUAGAUCAUAUAAAUUCAAACAUUUACCAAUAGGAAUUAAAAUUAGAAUAAAAAUAAUAAUAUUUUAGAAGAAGUUUUUAUUAAAAGCUUGUAUAUUAAAAAUAAGAAUUCUUUAGAAUUUAUCAAUUUUUCAAUAAUUAGAGCAUGCUAUUUAUGAAGAUAUUUUUUUAAAAAAUAAUAAUAAAAAAAUUAAGAAAAGAAGAUGUAAAGUUGUAUAAAUAAAAUGAAGUCCUAAACUUACAAAAACAAUCAAGAGUACUAAGUUCAAAGUGGUCUCAUGAAGAAGUAAAUAUUAAAAAAAACUAUAUAAUAUUAAAAGUAAAUGGUAGUAAAAUAAAUAAAUAUGACAUAUAUAUUAGUAAAAAAGUAUUUUUUAAUGAAGAUUGAAGAAGAAAAACCCAUUUAUGCAUCUAUUUUAACACAUAUCUAUUACAAAAUAUUAAUAUAAGUACAUAGAGGUAAAUAUAAAUAUUUUUUAAAUAUUUUUUAUUAUUAAGAAAUAUUAUUAAAAAAAUUUAAAAUUAAAUAAGACCUAAAAUUAUUUUAAAUUAUAUUAUGUAAUUUUUAAUUUUUUUUAUAAGUUUCUAAUUUUAAAAAAAUUACUAUUAAUGCAUUUUAUAACUUAGAUGCUUAAUUCAUAAGCUAUUUGAUUCUUAAAAUUCUUUGACAUAGCCUUUUUACAUGCUAAUACACAUAGAAGCAAGACAAAACCAUCAUUAAUCAUGCCAAUAUCUUUCUUAUAAUUUAUUCUUAGCUUAAGUCUUUCUAAUUCCUUAUAUUUAGAAACCUAUAAUUUUGGUUUUUUAUUAUCUUAUAGAUAUAUAUAUAUAUAUAUAUAUAUAUAUAUAUUGAUACAUUUAUCUGUAUUUAUAUCUUUUACACCAAUUCAAUGUUUUUUUUUAACAAGCUCUUGUACAUAUGCUUAUUUUUGUUUUUAUGAUUGUGUAAAUUAUGCAUCUUCAUCCUAACAUAUUUUCGUUGCAUAAGUUUUUUUUUUUUUUUUUUUUUUUUUUUUCCCUCUUCAUAUUGUGGUUUUCUUUUCUUAUUUCUAUAAUUUUUAUUUUUUUAAUACUUUUCUCUAUAUUAUAAAUAAAUUCUUAACAGAUAGUAGUUUCAAUAUUUUUUUUUCCGAAUUCUUAUAUGUAUUAGACAACUAUUUUUUGGAAUUGGCAAUAUGUAACAUAAUCUUGUAAAAAAAUUUAAAAUAGAUUUAUAAACUUACUAUUUUUUCUAAAUACAUAAGUAACUUAAAAUCUAUAAUAAUUUUUAAAAUUUUAUUUAUAUUAUAUUAUAUAUUAUUUAAUUAUUAAAAAAAUUAAAUAUAUCAGAUAAAUAUAUUUCGAAAAUGAUAUCAGAAGUUGACAUAUCAUAUUGAAUAUAUGACUAAAGAACCUUCAACUUAGCAAAUUAUUUAUUAAUGACUUACAAUUGUUUUAAUUUUGUAUCAUAUCUAUGUAGUUUUAUUUUUAAUAUUCAUAACAAAUUUUUCAUAAAAUUUAAUAAUUUUAUUAUUUCUUUUAGUAUAUACAUAAUUAUGUAAGUUUUUCUAUUUUUUAUUUAUUUUUUUAAAUAAUUAGUUAGAAUGUUAUAUAUGAUAAUAAAAAUAAAAAAAUGAUUACAAAAGAUAAAUAUAAAAAAAAAAAAAACUUAUAAACCAGAUUCUAAUAUUGAUUUUUAUUGUAACUUAAGUUUAUUUUUAAUCUAGAAAAUAAUCUUAUUCAAUUAUCUUAAAGAUAGAAUACAAAGAUUGAUAAUUUAGUAUUUAGUUUGUCCUUUGAAAAUAAUCAAAUGUUAUAGCAUUUAUCUUAUUGACAUUAUAGAGGAUUCUAUAUAGAUUUAAAGUUAUUGGUUGUAUGACAACAAAAAAAACUAUGUUUACUUCUCAAAAUACAUGAAGAAAAAAAAUUGAGUCAAUUUUAAUCCUCAAAUAUGUGUAGCUAUUGAUUGCAAGAAGAUAUGUAUAUAUAUAUAUAUAUAUAUAUAUAUAUAUGGUAAAUUUUGUAAAUAAAUAAAUUACCAUGCUGAAAAAUUGAUUUUUUUUUCUUCAUCAAGAAUACAUAUUAAUUUAAUAUAAUAGUGGAUUUAGUGUUUCACUAAUAGAUUCUAAAGCAAUAUUGGAAUAGAGUUUAAACAAAAAUAGACUAAUUUUGUAAUGUUAGGUGAUGCAAUUUUAUUGCUUAAGCAACACACUACAAAUUGAGUUCAAUAGAUCUAUAUUAUUAUUCUAUUCAUCCAUAUUUUUCAAGUAGAAAUUUUUCUAGUUUUUGUGACUGUGUCACAUAUAUUUUUUAUAAUCUCAAAGAACACUAAAAAAAACAAGGUUUUAAACUGAUUAAUUUUUCUUCUCUUCUAAUAAACUUAAUAACUAAAAAAUAAAAAAUAAAAUAAAAAAAUAAUCCUUCUCUUUUGUAGUUUGGCUACUAUUUGCAUUUUUAUAUUUCUUCCAAUCUUUUACUAAUUAAUAACAUCUAUAAAACAGACCACAAGACUAUACAUAUUUUUUAAUCUAAGAUGGUUUGAACUUGGCAUAGACAACUCCAUUUUUUCCAAACUAGAAGUGAAAUAAAAAAAAUAACCUAAUAAAUUUCUAAAUCACAUCUAUAAAUCAUCAAACCAUUAAAACAAAUUUAAAAAAAUAAAAAAAACAGAAAUAAUAAUAGAAACUCAAUAAAUUUAACUAAUAAAAAAAAUAUUUGGAAUUUUUAAAAUUUAUAAUUCAUUAGAUCAAAAUAACACUCUAUAAAAAAAUAAAAAAAUAAAAUCUUAAAUAAUAAUUAACUCAAUACAUAUACUAUCAAAGUCUAUUUUAUUUAUUGCAAGUAAGUUUCAAUCAUAUAUAUAUAUAUAUAUAUAUAUAUACUAAUUAUUUGUUUUACUUCAAAUAUUAGUUCAACAUCAAUUCAUAAAAAUGGUUUAAAAAAAUCAAUAACUUGUAGUUUAAGUUGAAUUUCUUGCUACCAAAGAAUAUCACAUAGAUUCAAUCAAAUUUUUAGCAACCAACUUUGAUUACAUCUAAAAAAAUAAUGUAGCUUUGUAAGAUAAAUUAUCCAGAAGAAAAUUAAAAAAAUUAUUAUUUCAUUAUCUUUAACUAUCUCAAUUUUACACACUUUUAUCAAAAACCGUACUAGUACAAGAUAAAAAAUAGAUGCUUCUAUCUAAGUUAAUAUUGCAUCAAAAACAUCAAUUUCUUAAAAUUAAAAAAAUUACAAUAGGUCACUUCACAACCAAAAUUGUUAUAUUAAAACCUAUAAGUAUCCUCAAUUAAUGUACUUAUCACAAUCUUUUAUCUUAUUUAUAUUUUACUAGCAAGUGCUUCCAAAAACAAUUGUAGAUCUAUCAUGAAAUUUCUUCUUGUAUAUAAGUAGAAGUUGUAAAGCUAUUGAUUUUGUAAAAAGAAAGAUUAUAUUGAAAAAUUUAAACCUACAUAUAAGAAAUAUUCCAACAUACUACUAUCAAAGUUACACCAAUAAAAACUUCUUACCUUGACUUUCAAAAACUUAAUGACUUUUUCCUUCAUAGAGCUUGUUAGAAGAAAAUAUUUGAAUUAAUUUAUAAAAGGCUUCAAACAAAUUAUAUUAUCUAUUUUUUAAAAAAUAAUAUAAAUUAGAUAAGAUAAAUUAACUAUCUUUAAUAAAUAAAUUUAUAUAAAGUGAUUUGAUAUUCUUCUUUCUAAAGUAUGCAUAAUACAUCUUCAAAAAGACUACAAAAUCACUCAAAGAUGAUAAUAUAUUAAAUUUGAAUAACUAUUGCAAAAGAUAAAAAGAUUCAAACAUCUUGAAAUAAGACUAAGGAUGAGAAAGGCAUUGACAAUAGUAAAAAAUACUUCACUCUUGUCUCCAUAUAUACUUUCUAACUAAGAGCUAUAUAAUAAUAUUCUAUAAGAUUUCUAAUAUGUGUUGAUUUUGCUAAACACAUGACUUGACUUUGAAGACAAGUUAUCUAUAUGAAUACCACAUAGUUAACUUGUUCUACAAGCUACUAACACGUGUAUCAUGUGACUAAUUUAUUGACUAAAUUUUUAGCCUACCAAUUAAAUAAAAACACAUGUAAAGUCAAAGCAUCAUUUAUGAAGCUUUUAGAAAGCUUCUUUAGAAGAUAUUAUGAAAUUAGUCUACUUUUAUCUACUUCUACCUAAUCAUAUAGGUAAUUAUUGGAAUAAAUAUGUAUGUUUAUGACAUUACCUCUUUUUUAGACAUAAAUGCUAUAAGGAGUUGUCAUCAUAUGUUCAAAAAAUCCAAGAUGUGGCAAAUUGUAUUUGUUAUAUACUAUAAUCUUUAUUUUUUUUAAAGAUGAUUGGUAGGUUUUCUAAGCAAUUGACAGUAUUAUAUACUAGGACAAAAAAACUACCAUGUUAUUUGAUUGUCAUUGAGGCCUUUAUAAUUUAUUUCAAGUAAAAUAUUUGAAUUACUAUCAACAAUCAUCCCGACUUCUAAUAAAAUCACCAAACAUCAAGAAGCUCUUCUAAGAUUGUGAUAUCAAACACAUUGUAUUUCACCAUUUAUUUGACAGAAGAUAUGUUGUUCUUGAGGAUCUUCAUCUCGAUUACAUCAUCUUCAACAUUGUGACAAAUGCAAUGUCUUCUGUAAUAAUUCAACAAACAAUAACUUUUAAGCUAAAUCUGUUAGUUAUUGAUUCUCUAUCUUUUUAGUGCCACAAAUACACAAAAGCUACAAAUAAAGAUAGAACAUAGCAUAUUAUCUUUAUUGUAUCUUGUUUCUUUUAUAACAAAGAUUUUCUAUUCUUCAUCUUAGUUUUGAUAGAUGUUGUUAUUGAAAAGCAUCAACUUUCAUUAUUGUAUUUAUAAGAUUUUUUGCUAGCUUCCAUGAGUAUUUAUUAAUAUCAUAUCUAUGCCAAUGAAUAAGAUAUUUUAAUCUAUUUUAGCACUGCAUUGAAUUUAAGAAUUUUUCUACCUCAAAUCCUUCAUUAUUAUUUAUUUUUAUAGGAAGAGGUGACAUUUAUCUUUUUUUGAGAUAUUUAAUAUCUUAUAUAGCUAAAAAAAGAUAUAUAAAAUAUAGUAUGGAUUUUCAUAGACUAUAGUAGAUAUAAUCAAUAAGUAAUAUGAUUGAAUUAUUCACAAAAAAGUAAUGUCGAAGCCUAUAAUAGUCCAACUUAUCACAAAAAUAAAUAGUCUUGAUAUUGCAACAAAGUAAGCAUACUUUAUUACUUACAUUAAAUUAUGGUUAUUCCUUAUAAUAGGCAUUUGUAUUGAUCUUUUGUUAUUCUUGAGCUUCCUUUAAUUGUACCUUCAUUUUUGCAUAUAGCUUUGACAAAUAAUUUGUUAAAUCUUUUACCUUAAGAUUAUUAACUUUUGAAAAGUCAAAAAUAUUAAAUCAAGGAUGAUAACUAUAAUUGGUAAAAAAUGAUGUUUAUUGAAUAAAAAAAUAUAUCAAAUUAUUAAAAAAAAAAUUGCUAAUGGUAAAAUAAUUGUCUAAUCAUCUUAAUGAUAGUUGAAAGUAUGCCUCAAAUAUUAUUGUACAAUUUGAUUCAUCUAUUUCAUUUGUCCAUUAGUUUGAAGAUAAAAGUAAAAGAAUAAAAAAUUAAAAUCUUAAAAAAGAUAUUUCAAAAUCUUAAUAUGAAUUAAGCCUUCUUAUUUGAUAUAACAUCUUUAGAUAAUCUAUGAUAGUGAUAAAUAUUAUUAAAAAAGUCUUAGCCAUUUCUUCACCUAUGAUGGAUUUUGUAUAUGAUAUAAAAUAUAUCAUCUUGAUAAAAUGAUGUAUUAUUAUAAAUAUAAAAUCAUACAAACUAGAAAUUAAAAGAUUCAUGAUAAAAUCCAUAAAAAUAAAAAAAAACUAUAAUUGUUUAAGAACAGAUAAUGGCUAAAGAAGUCUACAAGGUUGAUGACAAGGAAUUUUUUAUUUUGAAUAAAUAUAACAUGAUUUUACAAAGUCUUUAAUUACCUUCUACAUUUAAGGCUAUCAAUUUUUAUUUUAUAUUAGCUUCAAAGACUUACUAUAUCCAAAAUAUCUAGCUGGUAGAAAGUUAUGAUGAGCUUUAAGAAUAUAUAAUUGUAUUUUUUCUUUUGGAAUAUAUAAUUAUUUUAAAAAUAAAAUUGAUUAUUUUUGAAGCUAAACUUAAACUUCAAAGUAUCAUAAGACUUAAAAGAAGUAUUCUUGAUGUCAUAAACAAGAGAAUUAGAGGACAUACUUCAUUAAAUUUAUUUGAUAAAGGUUGAAUCAAUAAUCAAUAUUGAUAUUAUUAUUCAAAGAUAAAAAUGUUCUAACUUUAAGAAAAUCAUUCUUUACUGACUGAAAGCUGUAUCUUCUUUUCAUAUAACAUAAGAAUAUUUAAAAAGUGCAUUUAAUAAAUCUUAUUGUUUUUUGGAUUGAUAAGUAAUCUUGAAAUCAAAUAUUAAUAAAAAAAAUGCUCCGAUGGACUUGACAACAAUUCAAAAUAAGUGCCGACAUGAAGUACUUGAAGUUCUUGUAAUAUGCAUAUACAAUGACAAGUCUUGAUGUGCCUUUCAAAUAAUGAUUCCAUUCUUAGAAUAAAUCCAUAAUUGUAAGAAGUUCUUUGUCAUGGAUUUUAUAGUUAAUCUUGAUUGCUGAAAUGUUUUUGGAAAGAAAAGCUAUUAAGUGGAGAUAUCAUCUGCUUCUAUUUGUAAUAAUACGACACCUAAAACAAAGUUUGAUGUAUUUGUUUCUAUAAAGAAUGCCUUGAAAAAAUUGAUGCCAUAUAAAAUUGGUGCAAAAAUAAAUACUAUCUUUAAGGCUUUAAAGAUGCUUCAACUUUUUUUUUCCACUCAUGUUUAUCUCUAUAUGUCAAAUGUGUAAGAAGAGUUGCAACUUGAAAUUUUUUUUAAUGAAGAUCUUGUAAUAAUUAGCAAAUUUCAAAAAAUAUUACACAUCUCUUAUUAUUUUUAAAAUCUUAUAAUUGAUAAUAGUUUUGACUUUUUUUAGAUUUAUCAUUAGAUUUUUAUUGGAAAUGAUGUAAUCUAAGAAGUCAAUUUAUAGUGACUCAAAAAAUUAUUUCAAUGUUGACAUAUUUUAGAAAGAAUAGUGUAUUAUAGAUGAAUUAUAGUAAAUAAUGGUACAUGGUUUUUAUAGCAAAUAAAGUACUCUUUUUAAAGCUAUCAAAUGAGCUUAGGUUGAAAAGAAUCCAUUAGAUAAUUGCAAAGCUAUGACCAAUCUAAUUUUUGUAGCAUUGAAAUAAUUUUUUGAGUGUAGUGUCUAAUUUUUGGAUUCUAUCAAUUACUCAACAUCACAACAUUCUAUCAUAAUCAAAUUUAUUAUUAAAAUAUUAUUAUUAAUCUGAUGACAUCAUUAAUACUUACUAGCAAUUAUAAAAGCAUCAUUCUUAAUCACAAUUAUUUGCAUGAAGAUAUUCCAAAUUAUAACAUUUUAGGACCUUUUAGAAUCUUCUACAAAUUUCUAAAACCUUCUAAAUACUUAUAGAAUCUUUUACAAUCUUUUAAAAAGUUCUAAAGGCUUUUGGAAGCCUCUUUAGACUUCUAAAAACUUCUAUAGAAAGUACCAUAGACUUUUAUAACCUUCAUUAUAGUAUAAAUAGGAGUCUUUGGAACUACUUUGGCUUUCAAUCUCAUUUUUUGUCUUUAAUCUUGACAUAUUUUUUUAUCAAAUUCUUGUGUCUUUGACAAUUCCUUGAAUAAUUAUGAGACCCAUUUCUUGUUCUUUCUAAGUCAAUAUCACCUCUGCUCUUCUUCAUUCUCAAAAAUCUUAUGGCCAAAUUGCUUGUAAACUUCAUUACAAUAAAGCUACUAUCUUUAGGCUAGCAAAAAAGAUCACUUUUAAUAGAAAGAAUUUUAAAUUAGAUAGAACAAAGAAGCUCAUUUUAGUAGAUGAAAAAACAAUCAUUUAUCAAAUCAACACUGAGAAGACUGAAAAUGUUGUUGAGGUUGCUAAAAUUUUUAAUAAGAUUAUCAAUAAUCCUGUAUCAAUCUAAACUAUUUGAAAUAUUUUCAAGAAAUAGAAUAUGAAAGUCGUGGUGAAGAAAAAAGAACCACUACUAUCUACUUGCCAUUAAAAAUAAUCCUUGGAUUUUGCUCUGAAGUACAAGAAAUAAACUAUGGAGGAUUUGAAGAAGAUUAUUUAGUCGAUUGAGACAAAAAUCAAUAAAUUUGGAUUAGAUGAGAAAAAAUAGGUGUAGAAAGAAAAAGAUUAGUCUUUUUUUGUUAAGAAGAUAUAAAAAAUAGUUAAGCAUGGAAUUAGAGAUAUAAUAAUAUAAAAUUAUAUGGAAUGAAAUGAGGUUAGAAGGAUGGUAGAGAUUGAGGAGAAGAUAGAUACCAAGAAAUUUGUGGAAAUUCUUGAAAAAAAUCUACUCCCUAAUAUUAAAGAAUUUGGCAUUUUAAAGAAGAGGUGAUUUUUCAAGAAGAUAAUGAUUUCAAGCAUAAUUCAAAACUAACAUGGAAGUCAUUUGAUCAUCAUAAGAUUAAAGUAAUGGAUUGGUCUACUCAGUCUCUUAAUCUUAAUUCCAUUGAACAUCUUUGGCAGCACCUCAAACACCAGCUCAAUAUCUAAAAAAUAAAAUCAAAGAAAAUUUGAAAAUUGUGAAUAAAGAAUAGUUGCGGAAUGAAAUAAUAUUGAAGCAAUUUAGUACCAAAAGUUAAUAGAAAGUAUGCUUAGGAGGUUGAAAGUAGUUAUCAAGGCCAAAAGAGGUUCUAAAAAGUACUAAUAUGUAACUAGAUACUAUAUUCAAAAAAAUAUUUCAAUACUAUUCAAAAUUGGAUUAAUCAUAGAUUCAUAAUUACUUAAUGGAUUCUUUUUAAAUUGAGCUCAUUUAGUAGCUAUAAAUCAAUUUUUUAUUUGCUAUACAAACCACAUAUCAUUAUUUAUUAGAAUUUAUCUAUAAUAUACUAUUCUUUUUAAAAUAUAUCAAUAUUAAAAUAUUUUUCUGAUUCAUUGUAAAUAGUGUAGAAUACAUCCAUUUCUAUCUUCACAUAUAAUCUUGUAUCUUUAAGUUUUUGUAAUAGACAAUCAACAUAAAUUUUAUAUUUUUUUGUAUUUUUAAAAUAAAUUAGAAUGUUGUCUAUAUAAUAGAUAGUAAAAUCAUCAACAAACUCAUAAAAAAUUAUCAUUCAUAAGAUGUUGAAAAGCAAUUGGUACAUUUGUGAGUCUAAAAGGCAAGAUAAUAUAUUCAAAAUAUCUAUACCUAAUUUAAAAAGUAGUCUUUUAUUUAUCUCCUUCUUUAAUAUCAAUUAAGUUGUAUGCUCUUUAUAGAUCUAUUUUUAUAUAGAUCUUCAUUUGAUUCAAUUGAUUAAAAAAUCCUAAAAUUAGAAGUAAGAGAUAUCUAUUGUUAAUGUUGAUCUUAUUAAGUUCUUAAUAGACUAUGUACAUCUAUAGAGAUCCAUUAUUUUUUUUCACAAAUAAGAUAGAAGCUCCUACUAUAGAUUUUGAAUGGCGUUUGAAGUUUUUAGCCAUGUUUUAGUCAAUAUAUUCUUUUAGUACAUCCAACGCAUUCUAUAAUAAGCUGUAGAUUGGUCCAUAUAGUAGUUAAAUUCUUUCUUAUAAAUCAAUUGAACAAUCAUAAGAUUGAUGUUCUAAAAGAAUAUUUAUAAUAAUUUUUUCAAAAAUAUCAUAAAAAUCUUGAUAUUGGCUAAGUGAUAUCACUUGAAAUCUUUUUACUAUUAGAAAUGUGUAUAAUAUAUACAACAAAAGAUGACCCUUCUUUUGCCACAUGCAUAAAAGCUUUUACACCUAUUACUUAGAAUUUAGAUAUAUUAAACUUAUAUAUUUCUAUUUGACUAAUGAGAUUUUGAAUUAAACUACCAAAAUAAUUAAGAUUACAAAAAAUCUAAUCUAUUUUAGGAUUAUAUUUUUUUAACCACAAUAAUCUUAAAAUAAUUGAAUUAAAAGAAGAUCUAAUUAAAUUAAAUAUUAAUAUGCUAUUAUGAUCUUUAAUUGCUACAUCCAAAAGAAAAAUCUUAUAGAUAAAAAUUUUAGAAGACAACAAAUGACUAUCUAUAGCUUCUAUAUGUAUUAAUUUAGUUUUUUUGAUUAAAUAUAUUUUUUAUUUUUUGACAAAGUCUUUGUCUAUAAAAUAGAUUAAAGCUUUUGAAUCUAAUAAUGUAAAGACUUUCUAAUUUUUAGAUCCUAAAUAUAUAUCUAUUAUAUAACAAGGUGAUGGAUUUGAAGAGAGAAUAAGAUCUUUAGUAGAUGUUGUAUAUGAUUGUAGCCGCAUACUCCCUAUUUUAGCUAGCAAAACUUGAUUUUUGAUUUAUUCACAAGGACAAGAACUUGAUGAAAGCAAAUAAAUAAGUGAGACUCUUUCAUAGAAAUACAACAAAAUAGAAAUAAAAAGUAUACAUAUUAAAAAAAAACUAAAAUAGCUAUUACCAAAAGAUAAGAAAAUUUGAAAUUCUUGCAAUCUUUUCAAAGAAGAACAUGUUAUUCUUAAAGGUCUUCAUUUCUAUUGUGUCGUCUUAAAGGUUGUAAUAAUCAUAAUAUCUCAUCUGGUAAGUCAAAAAAUAAUGGUUCUUGAAUUGAAUCUGCUAGCUCUUGGUUCUCUAUCUUCUUAAUAUUACAAUUAUAUAGAAACUACAAAUAAAAAUAGAAGAUAGAAUGAAAUAUAUUUUAAACAAUAUUUUUUUUAUAGAAAAGGUUUGCUAUCCUUCAUCUUGGUUUUUAUAGAUGUCAUUGAUGAAAAGCUUUGAUCUUCUCUAUUGUAUUUAUAAGAUUCUUUGUUGGCUUUCAUAUGCAUUAUCAUAUUAUAAUUGUUUAUGAUAUGUAAAAAUUAACUAAAAUAUAUAAUAUAUUUAUAAAUAUUGAUGUACAUUAGAGUGGUUAGUAAGUUAAUUUAAAAAGAGUUGAUAUAAGAAAAUUUGUGUUAAAAUUUAUCUAUUUUGAUUAUAGUGUUUAAAUUAUAUAGGAUUUAGAUAUUUAAUAUAAAAUUUAAAGAGAAGAUUGAGGCUCAAAGAUGAAGUUUCAAACCUCUAAGAAACUCAUUUAAAAAGAUGAAAGCAAGGUAUAGAUGGAUGAAGGUAAGAGGUGAAGAUCUUCAUUUCUAUUGAUCAAAAGCCAUACCUAGUAGGCUCUCAAGAUACUAUCUACGACUGUAAUAACUUUUAAAAGAUGCAUAAUAUAGAAUAGACAAGAAUAUUUUAUAAUGAAGAGAUAUUCAUUAUAACUAUGGUCUAGUAGAUUAUGCCAAAUAAUUAAAGAGAUAUGAUUGCUACUAAGUUUUGGAUUCCAUUAUAGAAUAAGAUAUAUACCAUGAACAUUAAAAUAUGCAGCCUUAUUAAAAUUAUAUAUGAAUAGUUAUUAUUUCAAAAUUAAAGAAUUAAAAAGAAAAAAUAACAUAUAAUAUUUUUAUAAUAUAAUACUAUUAUUAGGUAAAAGAAAAAAAUAUUAUAUUAUAAAUGAGCUUCAAUAAAAAUAUUUUAGCAAAUUAUUUCAAAAAUAUAGAUAAUAAAAAAAGAAGUAAUAAAAAUUAAUAAGUAUUAAAGUUACUUUCUUAUAAAAAAAGAUUCUACUUAUUUUCUAAGAUCAUAAAUCAAGCAAAAAAAAAUAUUAAGAAAAUAAAUCAAACAAGAAUCUUUAGAAAAAAAAUUAAAAAUAUGUUUAUACAAAGAUUAUUUUAAAAUAUUAAAAUUGAUACCUAAAAAGGAGUGAUUGUGAACUUGGUUUGAAAUCAGAAUCGAAUGCACAAAACUAGGUACCUAUAGUGAUUCUAAGGAACUUUAGUUGAUUGAAGAAGAAAUUUAAAAACAAACUAGUAUGAAAUUUUUUAAGUAUUAAUUUCAUGUGAUUUAGAGAUAUAUUAAGUUUUUGAGGGCUUUUCAAAAAAAAAGAUGUACUUAGUGGUUUUUUAUGGAUAUACAUAUUUAUUCCAAUAAUUACCUAUAUAAUCAAAUAGAGAUAAAUAAAAGUAGAUUUAUUUUAUAAUAUCUUCUAAAAAUUCUUUUUAGAAGUUUUUUAGAACUUAUUAAUUAAUUAUCAAUACAUGUAAUAUCUUCUAAAGAACCUUUUUAGAAGCUUCAUAGAUUUUGCUUUGAUCUUAUAUAUAUUGAUAAUUAAUUAAUAAGUUAGAAACUUAGUCAAAAUGUUAGCCACAUGACACACAUAUUAGUAGCUUGUAGAACUAUGUGGUAUUUUCAUGAAUAUAUAUCUAUUAUAAUUUUUACUUAGACAAUAUGAAUAGAUAGAAGUAGGUAAAAGUAAAUUAAUUUCAUUAUACCUUCUAUAAAUACUUUUUAGAAACUUUUUAGAUGUUUUUUUGACUUUACAUGUAUUUAUAAUUGAUUGAUAGAUUAGAAACUUGAUCAAAAAGCUAAUCACAUGCCAUAAGUAUUGAUAGCUUGUAAAAUAAGCUAACUAUGUAGCAUCCAUAUAGAAAACUUGUUUUCCAAGUUAAGAUACAUGUCAUGCAAAGUCAACAUGUUUUUGGAGGUUUUAUAAAAUAUCGCCACAUAGAUCCUAAAAAGAUAAUAUAUAAAGAGGCAAGAGUGAAGCUUUCUUCACUCUACUCAACUCCUUUCUUGCUUCUAGUCUAGUUUCAAGAAUCUCUAGUUUUCUUGUCUUUAUUAAAGACAAGAACUUAAUAAAAACAAAUAAACAAGUGAGACUUUUUUCAAAGAAAGAUGACUAAAUAUGUAUAUUAAGAAAGAAACUAGAAUGGCUAUUGCCAAAAGAUAAGAAAACUAGAGAUCCUUGAAACUAGAUUAUAGGCAAGAAAGAAAUUUUCAAGAGUGAAGAAGACUUCACUCUUACUUCUAUAUAUACUAUCUACCUAGGAGCUACAUAGUGACAUUCUAUAGGACCUCCAAAAACGUGUUGACUUUGUACAACACGUAUCUUAACUUGCGAGGAAAGUUUUAUAUGCAGGUACCAUAUAGUUAGCUUGUUUUGCAAGCUAUCAACAUGUAUCACACGUGGUUAACUUGUUGACCAAGUUGCUAACAAAUCAAUCAAGUAUAAACACAUAUAAAGUCAAAAUAAGGUCUAUGAAGCAUUUAGGGAGCUUUUCUAGAAGAUAUUAUAAAAUUAAUCCACUUUUAUCUACUUCUAUGUAUUCAUAUCGCCUAGUUAAUACUUAUAGUAAAUAUAUGUUUGUAACAUUAUCCGCCCUUCUAGGAACGAGUUCUACAAGGAGCGGUGAUCACAUGUCGAGGAAGUCUAAGAUGCAGCAAAUUGUAUUUGUCAUAUACUUUGAUCUUUGUUUUCUUUGAAGAUGAUUGAUAAGGCCUCUCAACUAUUGAUAGUAUCUCAUACCAAUACAAAAGACCACCUUGUUAUUUGAUUGUUGUUGAGGCCUUCAUAACUUCCUUCAAAUAAAAUAUUUGGAACACCGUCAAGAUUUGUUCCUACUUCUAGUAAAAUCACCAAUCAUUGGGAGUCCCUUCCAAGGUCGUGAUACCAAACACAUUAUAUCUAGCCAUCUAUUCGAGGAAGAACAUGUCAUUCUUAAGGAUCUUCAUCUCGAUUGCAUUGUCUUUAAGUUUGUGACAAUUGUAAUGUCUCGUCUAGUAGGUAAGUAAAUGAAGACUUUUCAGUCAAACCCCGUGGUUGUUAAUUCUCCAUCUCAUUAGCAUCACAACUAUAGAAAAGUUACAAACAAGAAUUGAAAAUAGAAUGUUAUCUUGCUUAGAUCUUGUUUCUUUUAUAAGGAAGGUUUUCAUCUUGAUUUUGAUGGAUGUCAUCGAUAAAAAGCCUCCACUGUCUUUGCUGUAUUUGUAAGUUUCUUUAUCAACUCCCAUGUGCAUUUACUAAUAUCAUAUCCGUGCCAAUAGAUAAGAUAUUCUAAUUUAUUUUGGCGCCGCCUUUAAUCUAGAAGUUCUUCUACUUCGAAUUCUUCAUUAUUGUCUACUUCUAUAGGAAGAGGUGGAGCUUGUCUGCUUCUUGGAAUGUCCACUAUCUUGUAUGGUUCAAGAAGAGACACGUGGAAUACUAGAUGGAUUUUCAUUGACUCUAGUAGGUAUAAACGAUAUGCAACUGGAUUGAUUUGUGCAGAAAUAAAAAAUGGUCCAAGCCUUCGAUAGUCCAACUUGUCACAAGGAUGAGUAGUCUUGAUAUUAUGACGAAGUAACCAUAUCUUAUCACCCAUGUGUAAUGGUGGUUGUUUGUUUCGAUAGACAUCCGCAUUGACCUUUUGUUAUUUUUGAGCUUCUUUUAACUACGCCUUCAUUGUUGUAUGUAGCUCUAACAAAUAAAUUUCAAAAUAUUUUGUAACAGAAUUAUCAACUUUUAAAAAGUCAAAAGUAUCAAGUUAUGGAUGAUAACCAUAACUAGCAAAGAAAGAUGUUUAUUUUAUAAGAAAACAUAUCGUUGUCGUAUUACGUACUAUCUUGCUUGAGAACGCGUCGCGCGUCUGGCUGUAGGAGGUAGUAUGGUAUUUUGCUAGUACUCAAGCAGUCUAUCGUAUUCUUGACUACCCAAAUACAAUCUAUAUCAGAUUGCAAUGUAAAAGCUUAAUUCCAAUAUAAAACGCCUAGAGAUCCUAUAUAACUUCAAUAUCUUUUGUUAUUUUUAUUUUAUUUUAUUUUAUUUUAUUUUAUUUAUUUAUUUUAUUUUAUCUUUAUUACUAAUUACUUUAAUCCUAGACCGUGAACUUUGGCAAGCUGUGAUCCUCAAUUUGUCCUUCUGACUUCUUGUGAAACAUCUAUUGCUAGUGUCUCUGCAAGCCCUUUCGAAUGCUCAAGAAGUUCCAGUUCAACCCCGCUUACAAAUUGUGAGGCUAUGCUGCAAUCCGCAUCGAUGUCCCUUGGCCGCUCGCCAAUAUUCCUCUUAUCCCUGUUGGUAGGUCCCCAAUUAUCACUAAAAUCCUAAACAACCCCCAAUUUGCCAACUUCCAAAACUUCUUUAAACUGUUAGUAGAUAUCCUCUACUCGUACAGUCAGAUUAACACAACCAUGCAUGCAUUCAGCAUAUUCAACCUUCUAGACAACUCUGAAUUUCAACCACAGAAGUAUCUCCCAUUUCAUCAACAAUCAAGAUUACCAGCCUUUUCUCUCUUUCGGAAAAAAAAUCCAGUUCACCAAUAUAACACUAACUUUCAGCAACGAUUGCCUUAGUCUUCUCAAAAUCCAAUGAAGAAAAAAAAAAAACCCCCAAUUCUCUGUCUUUUUCUCCCCAAAGCAUGAAGCUAGCUCUCCGACCUAAAACCCCUGAUUUUCCCCCUUUUUUUCAUUGCUUAACCUAUCCUCCCCUUUAACCGUGAGAAGAUCCUAUUCUCCUGCCUUGGACUCCCCAAAUUGGAAUAGCCAACGGAGCUUUCUCUCCCAUUUUUGCCUUUAAGAGAUCCUUUUACCGAAAGGACGUUCCCAAAAUGGCACAAAGAACGGAACAGCCUAAAACGAAAUCGGAGCCCCAUAAUUGGACCGCAUUGGGUUGUCCGACCAAGUCAAGUCUCAUAUUGGAUAAGAGGCUCGUAGUAAGACCCGGAUGUUCCCGUAAUUGAGUCAAAUUGGUCCUUCGCGUCAGGCUCGUUCAAUCAUCCAUUUAGUCCUUUCAAUUCUGUUGACUCCCACUAUUGGACUCAAACGGAGCAUUUUUUUACAAGUAAGUAUGCCCUGACCGACUAUGACGGAGUGUCUGAACUGGCCACUGAAUAUUGGCACUGGAAUCGGUCGUUGCUCCCAAUAUUUGAGGUGAUUGAACAUUAAUAAAAGUCCCUUUUCUUUAUAUUUUCACGGUAUACUCGUGUUACAACACGACACCGUGUUAUUGUAAGUAAACUCUAUCAAUGGUAAAAGAGUUGUCUAAUCAUCUUCUUAGUAGUUAAUGGUACACCUUAAAUAUUGCUUCAAAACUUGAUUAACACGCUCCGUUUGUCCAUCAGUUUGAAGAUGGAAUGUCGAAGAUAGUUUUAUAUCCACUUUUAGAAUCUUAAAAAUAAUCUACCAAAAUCUUGAUACAAAUUGAGUUUUUCUAUGUGACAUAAUAUCCUUGGAUAAUCCAUGAUAGCGAUAGAUAUUGUCAAGAAAGAGCUUAGCUGUUUCUUCACCUGCGAUAGAUUUUAUACAUGAUAUAAAAUGUGCCAUCUUGGUAAAAUGAUCUACUAUCAUGAAUAUAGAGUCAUAAGAACCUGAGAUUAUAAGAUCCGUCAUAAAAUCCAUAGAAAUAGAAGACCAUGGUUGUUUAAGAAUGAGUAAUGGCUGAAGAAGUCUGUUAGAUUGAUGACGAGGAGUUUUUGAUUUUGAGAAAACAUAACAAGAUUGUACAAAAACUUUGAGUACUUUUUACAUUUGUGGCCACCAAAAGUCCCUGGAUAUUAGUUCCAAAGUUUUAUUAUACCCAAAAUAUCCUACUUCUGGAAAGUCAUGACGAGCUUGAAGAACACGUAAUCGAACUUCACCUUUUGGAAUAUAUAGUCAUCCCUCAAAAUAUAGUAGAUUGUUCUUAAAUUCAAACUUGGAAGUAUCAUGAGACUUUAAAGGAUUUUCCUUAAUAUUACAAAUAAGUGAAUCAAAAGACAUACUUGACUCAACGUGCUUUAUGAAAGUUGAAUCAACAGUUAGUGUCGAUUUCAUUGCUCAAAGAUGAAGAUGCUUUGGCUUCAAGAGAAUUAUUCGUUGUUGAUCAAAAGCAACAUCUCUUUCCUUUGGUGAAAGAUACGAUCGUCUAGAGAGCGUAUUUAAUAAAACUUGUUAUUUUUUUAGUCAAUAAGUGAUCUUGAUUUUGAAUCUUGACGAAGACGUACUUCAACUAGCUUGGCAAUGAUUCAAAACAUGUGCUGACAUGAAAUAUUCAAGGUUCUUGUGAUCCGUAUACAUUGUGACUAGACUAGAAGUAUCUUAUAGAUAAUGGCACCAUUCUUGAAACAAAUCCACGAUUGCAAGAAGUUUUUUGUUGUAGAUCUCGUAGUUGAUCUCAACUGCUAAACUUUUUUUGGAAUGAAAAGCUAUUGGAUGAAGUUUAUUAUCUAUUUCUAUUUGUUAUAACACAGCACUCAAAGCAAAGUCUGAUGCGUGUAUUUCCAUAAAAAAUGGCUUAAAAAAAUUGAUACAAUACAAGAUUGGUGCAGAAACAAAGGUUGUCUUUAGAGCUUCAAAUGCUACUUCUCCUUCUUAAUUCUAUUGAAGUUUGUCUUUGUAAGUCAAACGUGUAAGUGGAGCUGUAAUUUAAGAGAAGUCUUUGAUGAACAUCUGAUAGUAGUUAACAAAUGCCAAAAAAUAUUAGACAUCUCUUACCAUUUUUGGGAUCUUUCAAUCCAUAAUAGUUUGAACUUUCUAAGCAUCUAUCAUAAGUUCAUCAUUUGAAAUGAUGUAUCCUAAGAAGUCGACUUAAGUAGUGUGAAAUAUACACUUUUCUUUCUUGGCAUAGAGUCCUACAUCUCUUAGUUUUUGUAAUACUUAGCAAACAUGAAAUUCAUAUUCUUUUGAGUUUUUAGAAUAGAUUAAGAUGUCGUCUAGGUAACAGACAACAAAAUCAUCUAAAAACUCUCAAAAGACAUCAUUCAUUACAUGUUGCAAUGAUGCUAAUACAUUUGUAAGUCGAAAAGGCAUGACGUAUUCAAAAUGUCCAUACCUUGUUUGAAAUGAGGUCUUCCAUUCAUCUCCUUCUAUGAUGCAUAUCAAAUUGUAUGUGCCCCGUAGAUCUAUUUUUGUAUAGAUCUUAGUUUGAUUCAAUUGAUCAAGAAAUCUAGAUAUCAAAGGCAGCGGGUAUUUAUUUUUUAUAGUAAUUUUGUUGAGUCUUCGAUAAUCAAUACACAUCCUUAAUGAUCCAUCUUUUUUUUUUUCAAAUAAAAUUGGAGCUCUUGUUGGAGAUUUGGAAUGGCGUAUGAAGUUCUUGGCCAAAUUUUCUUCAAUAUAUUCCUUGAUUUCAACCAACCCAUUUUGAGAUAAAUUAUAGAUUGGUCCAAAUGGCGGUUGUGUUCCUUCUUGAAGUUCAAUUGAGCAAUCAUAGGGACGAUGUUCUAGAAGAGUAUUCACAUUCUUUUUUUCUAAUACAUCUUGAAAAUCUUCAUAUUGGCUUGGAAUGCCACUUGAAGUCUUUCCACCAAUAGAAACAAGUGUGGCAUAAAUGACACAAGGUGAUCCUUCUUUUGCAGCAUGUAAGAAAGCACUUGCACCUACAAAUAUAGGUUUAAUUAUACUAAACUUAUGACUUUCUACUUGAUUAACUAUACUCUUAGUUAUACUUUCAAAAAAGUCAAGACUACGAGAAGUCCAAUCUAUUUUAGGAUUAUAUUUUUCUAGCCAUGAUAAACCUAAAAUGACUAGAUUAGAAGGUGAUCUAAUGAUAUUAAAUAUUAUAAAGCUACUAUGACCAUUAGUUGCUAUUUCUAUAGGAAGGGUUUCAUGAGUAACAUCUCCUGAAGACAACAAACGACUAUCUAUGACUUCUACAUGAACAGAUUUAGUUUUCUUUAAUAAAAAUAUGCUAUGUCUUUUAGUAAAUUUCUCAUCUAAGAAACAUGCUGAGGCUCGUGAAUCUAGUAAAGUAGAGGCUUUGAGAUGUUUAGAUCCUAGAAUAAUAUUUAUCGUAAAAUAUAGAGAUGGUUUUGAGGAGAGGAUAGGACCUUCACUAGACGUUGUACAAGGUUCCAACUGCACGGUCCCUAUUAUAGCUAGACAAAUUCAUUUUCCGGCAUGCUAUCUUCUUUGAUCAUCGUACUCCUCAUGUUUUGGUUGUGUCGCUUCUUUGGACAAUGUUGAGCAUUGUGCUAAGAUUCUCUACAAUAGAAGCACAAUCCUUCUUCACGACAAUGAGUCUUUUCUUGUUCAAUAAGAGGUUUAAAACGUAUUGCAUCAAUUUGCAUAUCGUCUACUUUCGAAUGUAUGUGUUGAAGAGAUGUUGGUGUUGCUAUUGAAUUAUAGUAACAUUGAGGUCCACUUGUACGGUUCUCAGAUUGAAAUUCAAAAAGGUGAUUAUCGCACUUCAUAGCAAAGUCAAUUGCUUGACUCAAUGUUUGAAGAUUAAGUAAGUUGAGCAUUAUUUUCUUUUACCUCAUAUUGUAAUUCGUAGAGAAAUUGGCUAAUAAGUGGAGCAUCAUCCCACUUGAUAUCAAUAACAAGUUAUCAAAAUUGUGAAGCAUACAAUGUUAUUGAUCGAUUGCCUUGUCGUAAAAUAUAGAUCUUAUUGGUUGCAACACGAAUUGCAUCAUGUUCUCUGUACAUGGAUCAAAACUCUGCCAAAAAAGCCACUAGAUUAUCCAAUAUUGAAUCUUGUCGUGCAAAAAAAGAUGAAAAUCAUGAUAAUGUUGAACCUAAAAGAAGCGUACUAAUGAAUCUAACUUGCGAUCCUAGAAUUGGAUAGCUUUGGGGUUGAAGUUCAAUUACAAGUUUUACUUGAGUGAUAAAUCUUUUAAACUUUGAUCUUGUGCCAUCAAACUUCUCGGGUAGGACAAUUCUUGGUUUUCUAACACUGGAAGGGCGUUCCACUAUAGGAUGAGGGACAUGAUUUGGUAUAGAUGUUGAAGUAGCUCCAAUCAUUUCUAUAUCUUUACUUCAUGCUAAACUUGUUACUCCUUGUAGUGGUAAAUUGAGUUGAUGCAUCGCAAGCAUUAACUAUCUCAAUUGCUCUUGCAUUUGUACUAUUGCACUCUUCAUUUUAGUAAGUUUUGCCAUGAUAACACUUAAAAAAGAAAAGAUGUCUAAUAUCGCUCAAGACAAAUAGAAGAGAGGACUUGAGAAUAAAGAAAAUAUUAAGGACAAUAUCAGUUUAGAAGAAGGUAAUCCGCAACUUCUAAUAUGUUUAUGUCUUAUCAAGAAAAAGGGAUAAUCCACUCUUAAUCAAGAUUAGACAAAGCUCUGAUAUUGUAAGUAGACUCAUGUCAAUCUGUCAAGGACAAGAACAUGCUAAAGACAAAUGCUAUUGCCAAAAGCCUAGAAAACUAGAGACCCUUGAAAUUAGACUAGAAGCCAGAAAGGAGUUGACAAGAGUGAAGAAGGCUUCAUUCUUGUCUUUAUAUAUACUAUCUUACUAGGGCUAGAUGGUGACAUUCUAUAAGACCUCCAAUAUGUGUUGAGUUUGUAGGACACAUGCCUUAACUUACCAAGCAAGUUUUUUUACGUGUCGGCCACAUAGUUAGCUUGGUCUUCAAGCUAAUAACAUGUGUGGCAUAUGGCUAACUUGUUGACCACGUUUCUAAUCCCAAAAAGUCAAUUAAAGACAUGUAUAAAGUCAAAGCAACGUCUAUAAAGCUUCUAAGAAGCUUCCAUACCAAACACUAUAGAAUUAACUUACUUUUAUCUACUUUUACUUACUUUUAUUUAUUUAUACAUAUAAUUAUUGGCUUAUAUGCAUAUGUCCAUGACAAUCUUAUCAUAUUUGAUAUUUUUAUGUGGAUAGAGAUUCAAAGGUAAUAUAAUAGCAUCAAUUGUGAGGUGGUUAUUCUAUGAAAGAAACAUGUGGUAUAAAUUUUGUAUGUUGCCAUCAAAUGUGGUAGUGAUUUAUAAUUCUUGAAGAGAGCUGAUUAUAAGGGAUGGAUUAUAAAUGUUCUAUCUUAUUGGUCAAGAUCUUUUAAAACAUAUAAAUAAAAUAGUUAUGAAUAAGGUAGUCAUAAGUACAAUAAAAAAAAAAUCACUCUUUAAUACUUUUUGUGUAUUUUUAAAGUCUUUGAGGGCAAUGAAUGCAUGAGAGUGAAAAAUAUUGUUGAGUAAGUAGAAACAUGUACAAGUAAGAAUGCAAGUGCCAUAGUCUAGAUCUUAUACUCACUAAUGAAUAAAGAGUUUAUUGCAUAGUAUAAGUGAUAAAAAGAGUUUUGGUGGCUUUUGAAUAAGUAGUCGAAGGCAAAAAAAUACUAGGGAGUCAAAAUUUUCAAAUUUAAAGUAAAAAAUUAAGCAAAUAUAGUAUGGUUGGAUAACCAAGGUUCUAUUAUAAAAAAUUACAGAUAUCAUAAUAAGAAUCUUCACUUAAAUGCUUCAAAUUGGUUUUAACUGUAAUUCAAAGAUUAGGCCUCAAAGUAGUACUAUUGUACAUACAACAUGACUCAAUUUCAUUGUGGCAUUAUGUUGUGUUGUUAUUGCAUUAUUAAAAAAUAAUAUAAGAUUUUUGCAUGGCUUGCUCUAGAAAGCAAGGAUGUAUACAUCUUCUUUUGAAGUUGUAAAGAUGUCCAAUAUUCACUUAAUAUUUUGUCAUUAAAAUCAAAAAAAUAGAAGACCUAAUCAAAGUGCUAAAGGAAGAAAAUAGUAAGAAAGAAGCACACUACUCACUAUUAGGAUCUAAAGUUCAAUCAAGCAUAAUGGAUACAUAGAAAAAAAAGUUGUGUAUCCAAAUUUAUUUUUUUCUUGAUUUGACAAAAUUAAUUGUCAUAAGAAUAAACUUAUGUCUUUCUUAGAUGUUUUGGCCUUAAAAUUUUAUUGUUUGAAAGGAUCUUGUUUUUACAAAUAUUAAUAUAAUAAAAGAUAACUAUAAUAUUUAAAUUAUUCAUUAAUAGUAAUUGAAUUAAAUUUGAUAAAAGAUAAUAGUUUGGCCAAAUAUUAAGUCAUAUUAUAUGUAAAGAAUAUAAGUCACUAUAGUAUCAAUAAGUGUUAUUAAUUAGUUUUAAAUUGACAAAUCAACUUGUUAGGUUGAAUUAAUUGUCUUAAGUUUUUGAUUUUUAUAAUUUUUUUAUUUUAUAGUCUAUUUCUAUGAGGAUAAAAUUCACUCCUCAAUCUAAAUUACAAGAUGGGCUUGAUUAAAGAUUGCUUGUAAUUUGAGGUACAAAGAAAAAGAAGAAAAUAACAAGAAAUAGAGAAAAAAAAAUACAAAAAAACUAAAAGAAUUAUAAUCCAGAAAUUACAUAUUAUAAAGUACUUACAAUAAAUUUAUUAAAUUUUUAUAUAAUAAAAAAUUAAAAAUAAUAGAUAAAUAUAUAUAUUUAGAUAAAUUAUUUUAUUAUAUUUUUAAUAUCAUAAGAAAUAUAUAAAUUUGAGUUAUUAUUAAUAAAUUAUAAAAUUUUAAAAAUAAAAAUAUAUAAAUAUUAAAUAAAUAUAUUUUACUUCAAACAUAAUUUACUUAAGAGGUCAAAGAAUUGAGCUUCAUCAAGGUUGAUAAGUAAUGUAUAAGGAAUUUUUAGAGAUUUCAAAAGGCCUUAGACUUAUCUUCCUACCUAUAUUGAGGAUGCUACAAUCCAUAUGAGACUUGUACACUUUUCUUUCUAUAAGAACUAUACUAGCUACUUGUCCUCUUAUUUUGUACUAGUAAAUUUAUAUAUAUAUAUAUAUAUAUAUAUAUAUAUAUAUAUAUUUUAAAUUAACCAUAGUAUUUAAAAAUAUCCUAUUAGCAUAAGAACCAUGAAAGGCCUUCAAAUCUUUUACUAUUUCUUCACAAUAUUCUCUCAAUGCAAUAAGAAUCAUUUUUAUCAAAGUUUUAAAAACAUUGCAAAAAAUUUCUUUAAAAAAUCUAAAUAAAUUUUUAUUUAUUUUAUUUUUUCAUAAAAAUAAAUUUAAUUUUUACUAAUUUUUUUAUAUUGGUGAUUUUUUAUAGUUAUUAAAUAAAAUUAAAUCAACAAAAUAUUUGAUUUUCUAUACGAUAAAUUAUAAAGAUAAGAGAUUCUUAUUUAUCCUUUUUUUAUCUAUUAAAUAAUAUUUAAAUGUAUAUUUUUAAAGUAAUACAUGUGGAUAAAAGGUUAAUAUAGACAUUGGUUUGAAUACUUGAAUAAUAUUUUUGAUAAUUUAAAAAAUACUAAUUUAAUUAAGAUAAUUAUUUUUUAAACUUAUUAAGACUUUAUUAUAAUAAUUUUUUUUCUAAUAAGACUCUUGUAACUUAUAAACACUCUUAAAUUCUAAUGAGUACUUAAAUAAAAAAUUAAAAAAAGACUUUAUAAUAUUAAUAUUUUAUAUCUAAAUAACUUAAAGUUAUAUUAUAAAUAAUUCUAUCAAAUAAAAUCCAUCAAUAAAUCUUACAACCUCUUUGUGUUUAAAUCUGUAGAAAUAUUAGUUGUAUUCAAUUAGAAGAAAUGACCUAAUUCAAAAAGCAUUAGAAUUAACAUUAAUUGCUAAUUUAACCUUUUUUGAUGAAGUUCAUCAAAGCAUAUCCUUAGAUCUUCUUGUUCAUGAUAAUAAAAAUAAUUCUUUAAAAUUUUCUAAUUGUACAUUAUUUAGUUAAGAUAAACAAAAAUUUCUUAUUAUAGAAUUCAUAGACUUUUUUUUAGAUAUUAUCUAUUUCUAAACAACCAUGGUCUUAUGUUUCUAAAUAUUUUAAUUUAAAUCUUUUAAUCUCAAGAUCUUAUAAUUCUGUAUUUGUAAUAGUAAAUUGCUCCAUUAAAAUAAAAUAGUUUUUAUCAUAUAUAAAAAAUACCAAAUAUAAAGAAAUAACUAAACUCUUUCUAGACAAUAUCUAUCUCUAUCAUGAACUACCUAAAGAUGUUAUUUUAGAUAGAGGGAUUCAAUUUGAAUCUAUAUAUUAUAAUUUAUUUUUUUAGGAUAUAAAAGAUUAAUAUAAAAUGAUAUUUAACUUUCUAUUUUUAAACUAUUAGACAAACAUAGCUAAUAAAUAAAAAGUUGGAAUAAUAUUUUUAAUUUACUAUUGACUACUAUCAAAAUAAUAGGACAAUUCUUUUGUCAAUAGCAAUGUUUUUCUAUAAUAGCAUAGUAUUGUAUUAUAUAUUUUUUUAUAUAAGAACGCAUCAAGCAUAUAUUUGUAGAAGAUAACUUUUAUUUUGUAACAUACUAAGAAUUUUAUAAUUCCAAUAAAAUAUUAAAUAAACCUUAAUUGAACCUCAAAAAUUAUAAUCAAAUCUUAAUUGAAUCCAAUAUAUUCUUUAAAAAAAUCUUUAAAAAAAUAUAAAAAAUAUUAAAAUAAAAUUCUUAAAAAUUCUUAAAAAACUUUAAAAUUCUAAAUUUUCAAAAAUUAUAAUGAAAUCCUAAUAAAUUCCUAAGUAAAUCCUAAAAAUAAUCUAAAUAAUUUUUAAAUAAAUAUUAACUGAAUUCUAGGCAAAACUUAUUAAUUUUAAUAAAAUUAUAAAUAAAUCUUGUAAAAAUAUAAUAAAAUUUUAAUUUUAAUUUUAAAAAUAUUUAUUAAUUUUUAAUAAAAUACUAUAAAAUUCAUAAAAAAAUGCUUAAUCAAAUAUUCAAAAUUCCUAAUAGAAUGCUAUACUGAUUUUAAAAUCUCAAUAAUGAUAAAAUAAGUAAUUUAUUUUUCUUUAGAAUUAUUAAAAACUUCAAUCUAAUGGUUAAUAUCAAGCACAAAUUAAUUAAAAGAAUCCAACUUACAGAUUAGAAAAAAAAAAACUCCUAAUUUGCUUGGAUGUUGGCCAUCUUCUUCUUCUAACCUUGAUGUUAAUCCAUUAGUAAGUGUAUCUCUUUAUUGCACCAUUAAAUUUAUUUCAAACUAUACUUAAAUAUUUUUAAAUAAGUUAAUUAUAAGCCUACAAAAAAAUGUCUCAAUCAAACCAAUAGAUUGUAUAAGAUGAAAAAAACUCUUAUUAAUUCAUAUAAUUCAAAUUUUGAGACCUUAAUUCAAUUAAAUCUUAAUAACCUUCAAUCUAAAUGUGCGAUUAAUUAAAAAUUCACAAAAUACAUUUAAAAUAAAAAAAAUUAAAAUUCUAUAAUUUUCACAUAUCAAUCUAUAAAAAUUCUUAUAAAAUUUUCAAAUAUUUAUUUUUAAAAAUUAUAAAAAUCAAAUCACUUAAAAUAUAUUUUAUUUUAAAAAGUCCUUAAAAAUUUUAAAUCAAUUUUAAUCACCCAAAAUUCAAUGCUUUGAUUUUUUUUAAAGCUUGAUUUUUAUUUUUCUCUUAUCAUUAAAAAAACCAUAGAACCACCAUGUGUGCAUAGUUUUGUGCCUUGAUAUCUGGUUUUAACUUUGAUUUACAAUUAGCACUCUUUGAAUUUGAAUUUAUAGCUUUUUAAGGUAUUUUUUUUUAAAAUUUUUUUAACUUACUUCUAAAGAUUCUUACAUUAUUUUUUUUUUGAUUUUUUUUUCUUUCUUUAUAGUUCUACAAAAUAAAUAAAAGCUUUUUAAAAAAAAACCAGCCGUAUUAACACUAAAUGUAUUUACUACCUUUUUAACUUUUACUCCUAUUUUUCUAAAUUAAUAUUUAUAUUUUUCUAUUAACCUUAAAAUCAUAUUAAAACAUAAAGAUAGUAUAUAGUUUUACUCAAAAAUUAUCUUUUAAUGCUAACCAUGAUUAUUAUCUAUAAUUUGAUACUUUUGACUUUUCAAAAGUUAAUAAUCUUACAACACAUGAUUUGAAAAAUUGAUUAUAAGAUCUAUCUAAGAUAAUAAGUAUAAAUUUAGAAGAAGCUUAAAAAAAAAUAAAAAUAAAAAUAAUCAAUACAAUUAUCUAUUACAAAAGAAAAUUUCAAUUCAAUGCUAGUGGCAAGAUAUUGUUAUUUUUUUGUAAUUUUAAAAAUAUUUUUGUAUGUAAAAAGUUGAAUUAUUAAAGACUUAUUUUUUAUAUUUUUUGUAAAUAAAUAAAUUUGAUUGCAUAUCAAUUACACCUAUCAAAAUCUAUAUAGAUCCAUUUAUCUUUCUUUGUGUAUCUUCUUGAGCCAUUCAAAAAAAUGAAUACAUUAAGAAUAAGAUAAUUGUUAUAUCUUUCUAUAGAAUUAAACCUACCAAAAUCUAUAUAGAUCCAUUUAUCUUUCUUUGUAUCUCUUCUUGAGCCAUUCAAAAAAAUGAAUAUAUUAAGAAUAAGAUAAUUAUUACAUCUUUCUAUAGAAUUAAAUAACAAUCAAGAUUUUAAAUUAGAAGAAAUAUUAGACUUGAGGAGGCAUCAAAAUAGGUUAGAAUAUCCUAUAGUUUAAUGUAAAUAUGAUAUUUGUGAAUACACAUGAGCCAUCUAAGAACCUUGCAAAUGCAAUACAAAAGGUUGGUAUUUUUUUAUUAAUAAAUUCCAUCAAAACCAAGAUAAAGAGAUAAGAUAUCUUUUCUUAUAGUAUAAAAGAGGUUCAAUAGAAAAUCCGUUCUAUCUUCUAUCUUUGUUUGAAGUUUCUUUGAAUUUGUAAUAAAGAAUAAAAAACCAAAAAAAUUGUUAUAAAAACUAUUCUUUGUUAAAUUCUUAAACAAGCUAUUGAGAUUGUCACAACUUUUAUGAUAAUAUAAUAGGUAUUAGACCUUCAAAAAUAACACUUUCUUCCUUGAUACAAUAUGUUUGAUAUCAUAACCUUAAAAGAGACUAUCAAUGUUUGAUGAUAUUUUCAAAGAUAAGAACCAAUCUUAAUAAUAUUUAAAAUACUUUAUUUGAAAGAAUUUAUGAAGGUCUUAAUGAUAAUCAAAUAAUAGUGUGAUCUUUUUAUCUUAAUAUGAAAUAUUAUUAAUAAUUGAGAGAAUCUUACAAAGUAAAUUUAAUUAGAACAAUUAUUAAAUUAUGUGGCAAAAUAAUUUUGUGUCAUCUUAAAUUUCAUCAACAUAUAAUCACCACCCUUCAUAGAAUUCAUCUCUAUAAAAGAGGAUAGUAUCACAAACAUCAAUAUUAAUUAAAGGGAUGGAUAGAGUUAAAUAAAAAUAUGUAAAGAUAGUUUAAUUUCAUAAUAACUUUGUGAAAAGCUUAUUAGAAGCUUUGUAGAUAUAGAUUUAAUUUUACAAUUAUUUUUAAGUGAUUGAUAGAUUGAAUACUUAGUCAACAAGUUGGCUACAUAUUGUACAUAUUGGAAACUUAUAUUGUAAGUUAAACAUGUAUUUUAUAAGUUGGAUAUACAUUAAAUGACCUAUAGGACGUCACUACAAAUUUAUUUAGUUAAAUUAUAUAUAUAUAGAGGCAAAAGUGAGGUCUUUAUCACUCUUAUCAAUGUCUUUUUUGUUUUUAGUUUAGUUUCAAGAGCUCUAGUUUUAUUAUCUUUGACAAUUGUUAUUUUAGAUUUGUUGUGAGAUAUAUAUAUAUAAUUUUUGAUAUAGUUUUUAAUUUAUUUUAUUUAUCUUGCUUUAAAUUUUCAUUUUUAAUAAUAUUUUUAUCUUAGAAAGUAAUUGAAAUAUUUAUAAGUCCAAAAUUCAUAACAUGAUAUUUUAGUUGGCCAUACUUAGUACAAAAUAUAUUCUUUAAUUCAUCUCAUAUAUUAAUUUAUACAACAUUUUAGGCUCUUUCUAAAUCUAUUUUUAUAUAGAUCUUAGCUUCACUUAUUUGAAUAAAUAUUAUUUUAUUUUAAAAACAAGAAAUAUCAAAUAGUAAUAGAAAUUAUGUUGAGACAAUAAUUUUUUUUAUACUUUUGUAAAGAUUUGUCUUUUUUCUUCACCAAGAAGAUGGAUGCACUUUGAAUGGAUUUUGAGUAUUAAAUAAAAAAUAGUAUUUUAUAAGUAUUUUUAUUAAUAAAAAAAUUUAUUUAAAAAAAUAUAUAUUUACAAUAAGUUGUAAAUAGGUCUAAAUGGUGGAUGAGCUCUUGUUUAAAAAUGAAUUGAGCAAUCUUAAAGAUUACAUUUUAGUAAUAUAUCAAACUUCUCCUUUAUAAUAUCUCUUAGUAUUCUACAUAUUGUUUUAUAAUUCUAUUACAACCUUCAUUAGAAUGAAGACUUAGUGCUACAAAAGAAUGAGAAAUUAAUUAAUAUUUUUCAACUUGCAUAAUUGUUUUAGCUUCAAAAAAUUAAGUUUGUAAUUAUUUGCUAAUAUUCAGAUUAAAUUUUAAUAAGAAUUAUUGUAAUUUCUCUAUGAUUGAAGAUAAUAUAAUUCAAACCAAAAAAUACCAAUAAACACCAGAUUUGAAUAACAUUCAAUGGUGAAGACAAUGUUGAAUACAUAAUCUUCUAACGCUACUUUAAAUGGCUUUGUCUCUUCUAUAAUAUCUUUAAAUUCAAGUAAAUAUCUAUCUAUAAUCUCAACUAAAGUUGGUUAAAUCUUCUUUAAGAUUAUAAAUUUUAUUAUAUUAGAAAGUCUUUAUGUAUAAAAUACAUUAAGACCUUGGUGUCUAAAAAUGUCACAAACAUACAAGGAAGAUUUUAGAACCUUUCAAAAAUCUUCCACAUCAUAAUAGUUUUUUUUUUUUAAUAUUUUAAGAUCUUUGUAGAAAUAUGUAGUAGGUAGCUUAGAAACUAACCUUUAUUAGAUGGCAUCUUAAAAAACUUCUAAAAUAGCUCAAAAAUUAAGAUAUGUGAUUUAACUUGACCACAAGUCUUUUUAGAAUGCUUCUUCAGACUUGACAAAUAAAUCAUCUAUUAGCUUGUGUGGCAAGGCAUAAGAAGCUUAGACUUCAAGUGUUAGAUCUUGCAUGUAGUAUAAAUAGAGAGAAGAUUGAGGCUUUCAACGGUCUUGUCAAUUCAUUUCUUAAAAUUAUACUUUUUGUUGCUUUCAGGCUUGCUUGUUUAUAAAAUUGACCAUUGAUUAUUGUCUUCUUGGUUGUCUAUUUUUUUUAUACACAUCUUAGUCUUCAAUGCUUAAAACUAUUUCUUCUUGAUUAAAUUUUAAGAUAUCUCCUUAACAAAAUAAAUUGACUUAAAAUUUUAUAAUUUAAAAUAUUAAUCAUUAUAAAAAAAAUUAAAAUAAGAUAUAGGAUCUAAUGGUUAAACUUUAUUUAUAGAUCACAAAUUAUAAAAAAGAAUUUAAAAGUUUAAAUUUUAAUAAGAAUACUAUUUUACAUAGAAGAAUAAACACACAAAACUACUCAGAAUAUGUAUUCAAAAAAUAUUGUAGCUCUUUCUUUUUUACUUAAUCAUAGUCAUGGCCAAUGCCUAUAUAUAAAUUUUAAUAUAAUAUAAGAUUAUAACUAGAUAUAUAUAUAUAUAUAUAUAUAUAUAUACAUAAAUUGCACUUUCACAAAUGCUUUUAAAUUUAUAACUAAAUCUGUGUUUAUUAUAUUUAAUACUUAACUGAUAUUUUAUUUUUAAAUUUAAUUUUUAAAAGAAAUUGUCUUUCAAUGACAUAAUAGAAAAUAUUUAAAAUUAUUUUUAAAAAAUCCUAUUCCAAAAAAAUAUUUAUUUAAUUAAUAUCUAUUAUUAUUUUAGGUAUUAAUCUACUUACAAGUUUAUGCACUUGUAACUUUUACAUUUUUUUUCUUCUUAUAUUGUGUAAUAAGUCAAAUAAACUAUUAUCAAAAAAAGAAUGUGAAAUAACUUAUUUAAGUAGAUUUUAAGUAGCAUUUUAGAAAUUUAUUUAAGUAGAUUUUGUAGUAGCAUUUUAGAAAUUUUGGUCUUUGAUAAAUGGUUGUUUAAUUUCUUCAUUGAUUUUAAUGUUUUUCUAAAACAAUCUUGUUAUUGUUUUAACAGUUAUCUUCUAAAUUUUGUUUUUUGUAUUUCUAUUUUUUGUUACUAUACCUCAUAGAAUGAGAAAUGUUUUCAAAAAUACUUUUGUGACUUUAAAAAUAAUUAGAAAUCGAGUUACACACUGUGGACCGUAUUCUUCAGUAAAAAGAAUGCUACACAGAAUGUUAAUUAAUUAAGUAUGGCAAAAGUUCAUAAUAUACACACAAUGGUGGAUAUUUUCUUCACUUCAAUACUGUAUAAGUAUCUAAGAAACAGUUGUUUUUGGGAGGUUAGGAUUGAAACUUUAUAACUAAUAUCUUCUGUUAUUUUACUUUAUUGUUUGUUUAGGCUGAGGUGACAAUAAAAAUUGGUGAGGUGACGAUGACUACAAAAGACUUGUUUAGUAUAAAAAUAACGUAAAAAAUUGAGUGCUCUUAAUUUAUUAGUGUCAACUUAAAGUUAAUCUUAAGAUAAUUGUCUUCACCAUGCAUUGGGAAUGGUAGUUGCACCACUAGAUGAUAUCUAAUUAGAUGAAAAAAGUAAAAUAGUGUUUCUCUAAGACCCCAAGUAUGAAUGGACUCUAGCAUCUAUUUUUGGCAUGUUCUUUUGUGUAAUUCUUGUUAUCUUAAUUGUCAAAUUUGUAAAUUAACGGCUGUUUGUUAACCUUGUCUGUAUGUAGCACGUAGAGAAUUAGUACCUACUAACAAAUGCUGAAAAAUGGAAGUGGCAUUUUCAACAACUAUGACAAAUGUGCUGUAAGCACUGAAUUUGAUAAUAAAUUUCAUUUUGACCCAAAUUUACACGACACAAAAUUACAUAUUAUAAAACUUACAAUCAAACAUUUUUUUAAAAAUAAUUAUUCCGUCCAUUUGCGAAGUUUGAAAAUUUCAACUUACCAGCUAGCAUCUGGGCAAUUUCGUACAUUCUUAUUUUAAUCCUAUAGUAAGAAUGUAUGCCCAAAUUUACUCCACAUUAUAAUUAAUACAAGGAGGAGGAAGGAGCUCGGAGGAGGUGGGGAAGUUGCCUAAGGGGGGAGGGAGACGGUGUGAUGGAGAGGGGUCGGAGCAACGCAAUUCAGCGCAACGCAAUGCAGCUCAACGCAACGCAACACACGCGAAAGAACGGCCUAGUGGCAAAGGUAGGACGGACUGACGGACGGACACAGGGCGAGAGUGGUCAUAUGCCGAGGAUGUCCGCUUGGGCCCAAGGAUGGAGGGCAACAGAUGAGCGUGCAAGCCGAAAUUUGCAGUAGCAGCCUUGUGGACUGAGGAGGCGGAGGCGGAGGCGGAGGAAUUUGAUGCCCACAGAUGGCCACGACAUUCACUCACCCCACUUUCCCCCCUCUCCCAAUCUCUCCCUUACUGCAGGACGAGUGCGCAGAACAAGACGACAGGGGGGACGUAGCGCACGGCCAAAUGGAGAGGCGGAAGGAGAAGAGAGAGGGCUAAGCCCUGGGUGAAGAAGGGAGAAGGGGAUCAAGAGCCACACCCGGAUUCGACAGGACCAGCGAGCGCCAGCCAUCGCACAGUGGCACUCCUGACACAGGAACAGGACCCUGUGGGAACGGAGCGGAGGGGAGGGUGGGUCCCACGCUCGUCCAGGAGGAGGAGGAGGAGCAGGAGAAGGUCAGCCCUUUCAUCCAUCCAUAUACCAUCUAUUUAUGAACCCGAACAUUCAUCUACACUCCCCCCCCACCCCUCUCACCCAUUCGACCAUCCAUUGGCGUCCAUGGGAGCGACCAGAGCACGAGGGGGAGGACGGCCCUGGAUGCGAGGCGGCUGGAGGUGCCGGCAUCAUCUGCUCGCAUCCAGACCGCCAUCGUUAGAAAAAAUCGGGGCACGCGAUGACGACUAGGCUGGGCACAGCCUGACCGACCCCAUGCAACUUGUGUCGUCAAGUCUCCUGGUGCUGCUGGGUAUAAAUUUAAUGAAUGAACACUCCACCAUCUUCCCCCCUACUGUGCUCCGCUCUGCAACCCCCCUCUCGUUUCUACACGAGCACAUCUGUGCACAUCUAUGCCCCCUACUGAGUGACCCUGGCCCACCACGCACACACAUGUUGUCUAUGCGUUCUGAUACGCUAUCUCCUGUGAUGGUUAUUCAGUACUCUAGCGGUCUAGCCUAGGGACCUACCUAGGGUGGUGCUGGAAGAUGAGAUAGGAGACCCUAGCAGACACACUCCUUUACCCCCCUCCCUGGUGCUGCUGUACAACAGGACGAGGACCAGGACGAGUCAUCCCAUCAACAAGAGGGUUUCACGCUGCCUCAGGAACCCGCAGUUACUCAACUUAUUAUCAUAAUAUUGUCAUUGUAGUAUUGUUGGCAGCCAAUCAAGAGUGUUACUCCUUUCCUGCCCUCUGUGUGUCCCCCCCCCCCCCCCCCCUGCAUAUCUUCCUCCUCUUUCCUCCUCCCCCUCCUCCUCUUCCUAUCUGCAAGGAUUCGUUCGCAGGCUCCGAGUCAUUCCUCUCCUUCCUCGCACAUCAUUCAAUUCCCAACACCACCAUCAUUAAUCUUAUGCUUUGUGUUGCCUUUGCCUUCUACUUUCUUCUUCUCUGCCUGCCUCGCUCUUCACCACCCCACCCUUCGCCCCUCCAUAUCUACCGGACAUUCAAACUUCUCUCCCUCCCUCUCCCCUCAUUGUCAGUCUAGUAUAAUGAUCCUGAAGUAAUUUAGCGCCGUCCAAACAUGUGAUGGAACUACCAGUGUGUUGCUUCUAGCAGGGAUAUAACACCCACUAUCAUCACCUGCAGGGGGGAGGACGCAGUAUUGUGAUUUUUGCGUUGUUGUCGUUGUUGUCGUUGUUGUCGUUGUUGCGGUGGUGUUUUUCGAUACUUACGGGGUUGUUGUUGCUGGCCUCGGUGCGUCGAGCUGCCUGGUUUAGUGACUUUCGGAGCACCCGCGUGAGCAUAUUGGAGUGUAAGUGGUAAAGCUGCUGCUGAGAAGAUGCCAGGAAAGCUCCAGACUGUCACUGGAGGGUGGUCCCUUGGCCGCAGUCUUGGAGGUUGGACAAGCACAGAGUCUUGGGGGGAAAGAGCAAGAGUUCGAGAGGUGGGGAUUUAGCUCAACUGUCAACUGGUAAUCUAGCUCAUCCGAACGUACUCUUCGUUUGCACCAGUUUCUAAAUAGUGGAGCGUACUACAUUUUAAGGGCGUGUCGGAUUGUUUGACAAUUCUACGGAGAUUCACAGGUACGGGCCCACAUACAUUGGCAGCAUAAGUUUCAAGAGAUACAGCAGUACAUAAUUGAGAUUUGCUGAGGAGGAGGGCGAGUAAUAGUAUGCAAGAUGUCGACCCCCAAGUUGGCUUACUCGUCAGGGAGUUCUGUGAAGUCAAAGCAUAGUGUCCGGGUGGCGCAAACUACGGCAGAUGCCAAACUGCAGGCUGUGUACGAAGAAUCUGGAGAUUCAGGAGAUUCAUUUGAUUACUCUAAAUCAGUUCAUGCGUCUAAAUCCACGGGUGAGAAUGUUUCUGCUCAAGCAGUUACCGCAUACCUUCAGCGUAUGCAAAGAGGGGGUCUGAUGCAGACUUUCGGGUGUAUGUUAUGCGUGGAAGAGAGUAAUUUUAGGGUUAUUGCCUUCAGUGAGAAUGCCCCAGAGAUGCUUGAUUUGAUGCCACAAGCUGUGCCAAGUGUGGGCCAACAGGAAGUUCUGGGCAUUGGAACGGAUGCCAGAACUUUGUUCACCCCUUCCAGCGCCGCUGCCUUGGAGAAGUGCGCAGGAGCUGUGGAUGUGACUAUGCUGAACCCUAUCUCAGUGCACUGUCGAAGCUCGGGGAAGCCGUUCUAUGCAAUUCUGCACCGUAUCGAUGUGGGACUGGUGAUCGAUUUUGAGCCAGUGCGGUCGAACGAUGCCAUUGUGUCCUCCGCUGGGGUGUUACAGUCGCAUAAGUUGGCUGCAAAGGCGAUUUCUCGGCUGCAGGCACUUCCUGGCGGAGAUAUUGGUCUGCUUUGUGAUAUUGUUGUUCAGGAAGUGCGCGAGCUUUCAGGCUACGAUCGUGUUAUGGCUUACAAAUUCCACGAAGACGAACACGGUGAGGUCUUAGCAGAAAUUCGGAGAUCAGAUUUAGAACCUUACUUGGGCUUACAUUACCCAGCAACAGAUAUCCCACAGGCAUCAAGAUUCCUGUUUAUGAAAAAUAAAGUUCGAAUGAUUGGUGAUUGCUUUGCUUCUCCUGUGAAAGUGAUUCAGGACAAGGAUUUGAGGCAGCCUAUCAGUCUUGCGGGAUCUACAUUACGCGCUCCUCACGGUUGCCAUGCGCAGUAUAUGGGUAAUAUGAACUCUAUUGCUUCCUUAGUGAUGGCUGUGAUUGUGAAUGACCCUGACGAGGAUCCUAAUGCACGCGGGGGUCAGCAAAGAGGGCGCAAGCUCUGGGGAUUGGUAGUUUGUCACCACACGUCUCCGAGGACCGUCUCUUUUCCCUUGAGAUCGGCUUGUGAGUUCUUAAUGCAGGUAUUUGGUUUGCAGCUGAAUAUGGAGGUUGAGCUUGCAGCUCAGCUAAGAGAGAAGCAUAUUUUGAGAACUCAAACCCUCCUCUGUGAUAUGUUGUUGCGGGAUGCACCUAUAGGAAUCGUAUCCCAAUCACCCAAUAUCAUGGAUUUGGUCAAAUGCGACGGUGCAGCACUGUACUAUGGGAAACGGUUUUGGCUCUUGGGAAUUACACCUAACGAUGCUCAGAUUAAGGAAAUUGCUGAUUGGCUCUUGGAACAUCAUCAGGAUUCGACCGGUUUGAGUACAGACAGUCUGGCCGAUGCAGGUUACCCUGGCGCUGCGCAGCUUGGUGAUGCUGUGUGUGGAAUGGCAGCAGCGAAGAUUACCUCUAAAGACUUUCUUUUCUGGUUCAGGUACUUGUUGAUAUUCACAUUAUUCUGUGAUAUUUGUAAUUCAAUGUUUUGUUUCUUGCAGUCAAUGAAUUCACAGUCAAUUAAGAUGAUGUCAACGUUGUCAGCUGCAAUUGAAAUUUACACCAGUUGAACGCAGCUCUAUUGGUCGCAAUCUUCAGUCUAGUUCAAUUGAUGUACAGCUGUUGGUCCAGGUCACAAAGGUCGUAUGGAUAAGUCUGUUUUUGAAUUAGUGUUGAUCAUCUAAAUAGAACAAUGGAGAACCGUCGCAAGUCCAAAGAUCUCUGUUCUCCUUUGAAUCUGGUUUGGUACGUGUGCUCUUUUUUAGGUCGCACACCGCCAAGGAGAUCAAAUGGGGAGGUGCCAAGCACGAUCCUGAUGAGAAGGAUGACGGCCGAAAAAUGCAUCCCCGGUCUUCGUUUAAGGCCUUUCUAGUAGUUGUGAAGAGAAGAAGUUUACCAUGGGAAGACAUAGAAAUGGACGCAAUUCACUCUCUUCAACUCAUUUUGAGAGGUUCAUUUCAGGAUAUUGACGAUAGUGACACCAAAACUAUGAUACAUGCCCGACUGAAUGACUUGAAGCUCCAGGGCAUGGAUGAGCUCAGCACAGUCGCUAAUGAAAUGGUUAGAUUGAUAGAGACAGCGACCGCACCUAUUCUCGCUGUGGACUCAGGUGGAUUCAUUAAUGGUUGGAACGCCAAAGUAGCUGAACUAACAGGGCUUCCAGUCGAAGAAGCCAUGGGUCGGUCGCUGGUAAAGGAUUUAAUUUUAAAUGAAUCAAUCGAUGUCGUGCAGCGGCUUCUCCACCUCGCACUACAAGGUAAUAGCUAGCGCUCAUUUGUUCGUCAUUUUAACUUUGGGCACGCAUACUUCUCUGCUCUACGCAGCUCCUAAGAUUGUGUAGGUCAUUAUCCUGGUAGUCCCUAAUGUCUCUAACCGCAAUAAUCCUUAGUCUCAAACGCACAACGUUUCUAUUGAGUAGUUCAUCUGUCAAAUUUGGCAGUUAGGUUGUGUACCCAAAGAACCACGUUUUUAGCCCAUCACAUCCCCCCCCCACACACUCCCUCCUUCCACGUGUCUUUCUCGUACUCAUGCACGUGCUUGUUUAUUAUGUUUUAGUUGCGGAUUAACUAAUUUUGAUUGUCUGAGUAGCGGGACCAAUGUGUUCAGCUUCUUAAUAAUCGUCACAUACUUAUUGAUUGGUUGCCGUGCUCAUCAUUUGCAGGUGACGAAGAACAAAACAUUGAGAUUCAAUUGAAGACCUUCGGUCCACAAAAAGAGAAAGGCGCGGUGAUUUUGAUAGUGAAUGCUUGCUCUAGUAGAGAUGUUCAAGACAAUGUGGUCGGAGUAUGUUUUGUUGGACAGGAUGUGACAGGUCAAAAACAGGUUUUGGAUAAAUUCACUCGGAUACAAGGGGACUAUAAGGCUAUAGUUCAGAAUCCGAACCCUCUGAUCCCUCCCAUAUUCGGUACUGAUGAGUAUGGAUACUGUUCUGAGUGGAAUCCUUCAAUGGAAAAGCUUACUGGAUGGAAGAGAGAAGAGGUAGGUUUACUAUUUCUUUUCUUGUUUGGUCUUCAUCUAUUGGUUUGAUACUGCAAUUCGUGUAUAUUACUGUUUUCAAUGUAUAUAUGGUACUUACGUUCAGUUCAAGUAAUUUUGCCAGUAACUGAUAGUCGUGUCGCUAAUUUAUUUACAUUGUAAUGCAGGUGAUUGGAAAACUGCUAGUUGGCGAAAUUUUUGGUAUUCAACUUAUGUGUUGCCGACUCAAGAGCCAAGAUGCAAUGACGAAAUUCAUGAUUGUACUAAAUGGUGCCAUGGACGGUCAAGACACAGAUCGAUUUCCCUUCUCCUUUUUUGAUAGACAAGGGAAGUACGUGGAUCCCUUACUCACAGUGAACAAGAGAACUGAUGCAGAAGGAAGCAUCACUGGCGUAUUUUGCUUUUUGCACACAACCAGUGUGGAAUUGUUACAAGUAAGACCUCAAAUUUCCGUUGAAAACUCGCUGCAAUGUUAUCACUUCAGAACAGGAUAUUGAACGGUUGCGAUUCGAGCCAGAAUGGAUUUCUUGUGUCAAGUUUUUCUUUAUCGCAAAUAUUGAAAUGUUCUUGUGAAUCCAUCCUCAUUUCAAUUGGUAUCUUCUUGGAUUUUGAGAAGGUCUGUAAAUAUCGUCCGUGAAGCUCAAAUUGAAUGUAAGAGUGUUAAUUUCUCAGUAGGAUAUAGAACUUAUCUAUGAUUGUCAACACAUGUAUAAUACUUAAAUAUUUAUUCUUGUAAUUUCUAUUUUUUCUGUUAAUACUUUUCAAAUUUAUUUUUACUUUGCCUUAGUGAAGGCUUUUUAAUAAAAAAAUUAUCCCACAGUUCAUCAUUUAUUUUCGUCUUCAGAUUUCCUUUUCAUUUUCCUCUGCUCGCAACUAGUGUUGUGGUGCGGGAUGAGAUCAAUGUUGUUUGUAACCGAGAUCGUAGGAGUAGACUGGUUUGGCUUUGGAGUUGAAGUGACCCAUGACUUUGUACGCAGGCAUUGACUGUUCAACGUUCGACUGAGAAAGUUGCUUUCGCAAAACUCAAGGAAUUGGCUUACAUUCGACAGGAGAUCAAGAAUCCUUUGUAUGGUAUAGUAUUCACACGUAAUUUGAUGGAAGACACAGAUUUGUCUGUAGACCAAAGGCAAUUCGUGGAGACUAGCGCGGUCUGUGAACGUCAACUGCGCAAAAUAUUGGAUGAUUUGGAUCUUGAGAGUAUCGAGGACGGGUAAGCUCUUAAUCUUGCUCUUCUUCUGCUCCUCUUCUGCCAGUAUUGAUCUUUUUGAAUAGCAGUCGGUCUAUUUGAUGUGAUUCUCUGACAUGUACGCGUGUUGCAUUUUGUAUAUAUCUCUGUAUCACGAGGCUUGUCAAGUCAACUUGUUAUUCAACUGUAUUUGUUAUGAGAAACUGUUAUGAAAAGCAGAUUGGUUUGUCAAGCUUACAGCUUGAUAGUGUCUGAAAUGUUUAUUCCCUUUUUUGUUCUGCAUUGAACAGUUACUUAGAGCUGGAUACAACUGAGUUUGAGAUGGGAACAGUGAUGGACGCUGUUGUCAGCCAAGGAAUGAUCACAUCAAGAGAAAAGGGUCUUCAAUUAAUCCGGGAGACUCCCAGUGAGAUUAAGAACAUGUGUUUAUAUGGGGACCAAGUCCGGUUACAACAAGUGCUUGCAGACUUUUUGUUAAAUGCUGUGCGAUUCACCCCAUCCUCUGAAGGCUGGGUCGGGAUCAAGGUGGUCCCAACAAAGAAGCGCCUGGGUCGAGGCGUUCAUGUCAUGCACCUAGAAUUCAGGUCUGCAUGCUUUUCAUGAUUUGCUGCUAAUUGCGAAGUUAUUGGAAUUGUUUUUAAUUUUCUGAGGUGAAAGUGUGAUGUACUGUGUUCAACUGAAUGUAGUAUAUUCAGCCUAUUGUUGUUGACUUAACAGUUUUUAAUACCAGUGUUUUGUUUUUUAGAGUUACACAUCCUGGACUGGGUCUUCCUGAAGAGCUGGUUCAUGAAAUGUUUGGUCGAGGACGAGGCAUGACUCAAGAAGGCCUGGGUCUGAGUAUGUGUCGUAAACUUGUAAAGCUAAUGAAUGGUACUGUUCAAUAUAUCAGAGAAACAGGUAAGAGCUGCUUUUUAGUUGAAGUAGAGCUUCCCUUGGCACAGAGAGAUGAUGCAGGUAGUGUGAGAUCUACUGUUGUCUAGU
Molecule: long non-coding RNA, 64468 nt
Filed under: Physcomitrium patens
Lineage: Eukaryota; Viridiplantae; Streptophyta; Bryopsida; Funariales; Funariaceae
Description: long non-coding RNA (PPAT_LNC009807)
Source: RNAcentral